CUAGCCCAAUUAAUUUUUAUUAUAUAUAAAUAGAAAUAAGGGAUCCCAUUUCCUAACCUAAACUCAUAGUUUCUUAAUCCCUUCACCAGCUGAAAAAUUUUGUCGUCAGCCUUCAACAUCACCUUGCUCCUUCUUAUCCUUUGGAUUAUCAACAGUGUUCCCUUCAGUGAUUCCUCAAUUUCUAUAUAAGCUUUCAAGAGUAAGUACGACUCAUCUUUUUUUCUUCGAUUUAGUAUCUUCCUAUAUUUUUGACUUUUGCUCUUCUCAGUUGUGCUCUCUAUUAGAUAGUAGUGGUAAUAGUUGUUUUUUUAAACUGAGGGUUCUUGUUUAGAGUGAUGGAUUCCAUUACUAGGAAAGCUUUUUACAUACUUGAUACCUCUCAUUUUCUCCUUGUUCUGACCAUUUUAUCUAAUUUCAUAGGUAGAUCCAUGGUGAAGUGCAUGAGAAACAUCACACUUCUGCUCAUAGCACUAGAAUUGUCACUCAGGUUAACCACUUCUGAUUCUACCCAAGCCCCUCCCAUUUUGCCAAGUCCUUUUUGAAGGUUGUAAUAGCCUAGGCUAGAUAGCAUUUCACUCUUUUUGUUUCCUUUGAUGAUCUUGUAAAUUUGUAUGUAGUGAAAAAACUUAUGCCUCAGACUUCCCAGCCCUUUCAUCCCUUAAUCGAUGAAACUCCCAAGUAUGGGCUCUGUGUAUAGCAGAAGACUGAUUUUCCUGAAUUUGUCCAAAACCUCCUUGAGAUAUAGAUCAGGACCUGUGAUAAUGGUUCUCUUUUUUGAUCUAGGUAAAACACAAUUAUUUACCAACUCAAAGAGUAGUUGGUACUCACUCAAGGCCUUUUUGGUUACAUUCUUCACAUUCAUAUCAUCCAAAUUACUACAAACCUUAAAAAAUUUAGCAAAUCCUUCUUCCUGUCUCACAGAAUUUAUCCCUUAGGUAACUUAGCCAUUUAGGGUCAAACACCCUGCCUCUCAAAACUUCCUGAGUCCUCAAAAUUUCUUUCCUUGCCUUUCUUGACAAUACUUUUCCCUUCCCAGUAGAGGAGGAGGCCUUUCCUGAGGCACUAGUACCCUUGCCAAAUAACCCAGAAGCUCCUGAGAUUUUUUCAUUCUUAGGGCUGGGACCUAGUCCCUUGUUCCCUACUGUGGUUGCCCUCUUUCUCCUCCUAGUCAUUUUUGACCUAGAACACUUUAGUUGAACUUCCUUUUAUUUUCUUAGAGAAAAUAGUAUUCUUUCCUUUUGCCAUAGCCCUAGUGGUUCUCAUACUGCUUUCCACGUCAGAAUCAACAUCACUAUUGAAGGCCCUAUCAUUAUCAUCAUCACACAAAUUUUUAAACAUUUCAUCUAGAGUAUCAUAGUCACUAUCUUUGUUGUCGUCAAUCUCAGUUUCUUAUCAGACUCAACUGCAACAACUGGCUCAAUAAUAUCAAUUCCUUUUCUUUUCUCCAUCCUAGACUUCUUGCUAUCAUUCUUAUUUUAAGCCAAAGCCUCCUUCAUUGCAUUUCUAGAACUCACCCUAGUCCCUAGUGUCCUACCUAACCCUGAGAAAGAUGACCCUUUCCUGGAUAAUUUCCAAGAUAAGGGCUGAUUAUCAUCACUAUCCAAGUCACUCUGUGCAUCCUUAUUCCCAUCGAGAUAUCACGCACUGGGGGAGUACUACAUGCUCUUCAUCAACACUUGAAGAUGAAACAUUUUCCCUACUUGUAAAAAGAGUUGCAAGAGGAGUUUCCCAUCUUGGGGGUUUUACACUCAAAGCAGUAAGACCCUACAUCUCUAUUUCCUCACUUAUAGCUUGAAUGUUGGAGGGAGGCUCUCCUGGGUAAAUCUUUAAAUAAGAUUUCAUCCAAGGAGACACUUCCUGACUUGCUAGAGGAUUCAGAUUUAUCAAGGAUGAGGGUUUGGGUUUUGGAGGAGGAGUCCAAAUCCCAACUGGAAGGAACUGGUUGAUUAGGGAUUGGUUCCUCAGAUUUGUUGAACUAUAAGGAUAAGAAAAUACCUUUGAGGAAUUCAAUCUGGGAAUCUUCCUCACUAGGAACAAGGUUUUCAAAGGAAUCAGCCUUAUCAUCUCCUUCUUUGUUUAAGGAGAGAGUGAUUUUAGAUUCAAAGUUGGCAUCAAUAAUAUUUUCCCCCUUUUAAGAGAAUCAUCAGGAGUUCCUACCUUCUUAGAAUUGAAUUCCCUAGCAAUUUUGCACAAGAACAAAUGGGAGAACUUAGUGAUAGCAAAUAUUUCUUUAGACCAAGAUGGAAUGGAAGGAGUUUUUAUUACUUUCAAGGUAGUGGGUUCAUUCUUUUGGGAGGAUGGAGAGGGAUUCAACAUUGUGGAGAUUAGAGAGAGAAUUUGACUUAUGAUUGUAAAUAAAACAAGAGGGAAUGGUUCAAAUUUUAUGAAAAGAUAUGUCUGAAGAGACAUGUCUAGUUGGAUGGGCACAUGUCUUGAAUUUAAAGGACACUGACAGUUUUUUAGAAAGAUCAGGAAAGUGAUGUGGCACAUAUCUGUUGUUUAUAUGGUCACUAUAUAAUAUAGUAAAUUAUACUGACCUAAUUUGGGACCUGGUCCCUAAGUGAUUUUAUAGUCAACAUUCUGUGAUAUCUCAUUUCCCUUUUUUAUGUUCUCCUUUUUGCCCAGGGUGGAUAUCUACAGAAGAUAUUAAGAUGAAUUAGACAUGUAAAUCACUAUCUAGCCAGGAUACCUUCUUGCCAUUUUAUAGCUAUUAAAGUAGAAUUAUGAAAGCAACCAACAUUCAUCUAGAUCUCACAGGCUGUGUCUCCUCAUGUUUCACUCAACCAAUUCCCUAUUAUCUUUCUUCAAGGAACCAUAAGUAUAUACUAAGGAGUCUUUUUCUCUUUCAAGGGCUUGACACAAGAGGUACUCUCUCAAAUCUUUAGUUAUAUGCUCUGAGCAACCAUCUUCAAUCACCCCUGCAUUGGCUGCUACCUCUUUCUUUGCCCUGCAUCACAAAUCAAUUGUUAGUCUUGGGAGCUCAUUUUAAUCUAAGUUCCUAAAAUAAAGAUAAAGGGACGAUCAACUUCUUCUUUGUCCAGCUGGGUAAUCUUCUUUUCUUUCUCCAGGGAGUGAUAAGUUUUCUCAUGUCUCUCUAAUCUAUUGUAUGGAAAGAAUUCAUUUCUCUUAUGUGACCCUUCAUGCCACACUCUGAGCAUAGAUGAUCAUUCUUAUUUUUUGCAUGUCUGACAACAUAGUUAGAAUCUUUACCUUGACAGUAAUACCUUGGGCCUCUCUUGCUAUUUGUCUCUUGAUAAGUGAGAGUAGUGAGAGCUUGUGAUGAAGUAGUACACUUGAGAUACUUUUCAAUCUCAUUUCUUACUCUAAAUAGUCCCUUUUCAAGAAUAGAGUUCCUUUCACGAGAAGCAGCUAUGUUAACUUUAACUUCAGCUACUUCUUCUUCCAACUAAAACUGUAUACUACUUCCCUCAGCUUUUCCUUUGAAAACUGUCUUGGUAAUUUCACUUAAUUAUUUACUCAGGUGAUCAUUUUCACAUGAGAGAUUCUUGCAAGUUACUUGAUGCUCCUCCACCUGCACACUUAGUUCAACCAAUUCUUCUUUACACUUACAUAGAUCAUUCUUUAGCUUUUCCUUUCACAAGUGAGUUCAGUCAUUUGAAUGCACAACUUAAUGACUUAUUCUUCACAUUUAUCAAGGGAUUUCUUUAGAUUUUCUUUGUCUUCAGCAAGCUCAUUCAAGGAUUCAAUCAAUAUAGAGGCAACAGAUCUCAGCUUGUGGAGGAGUAAUCCUUCAGAUUCUCCUUGAUAUCUAGAAGAGUCACAGGUUUAUCUUUAUUAUCAUCAGUGUCUUCCAUCAAAGAAAAGAGUGAGUCAAACAUUUGUACUUCUUCUUCCAUUACCAACAUGGAGAUGUCUUCUCCUCGCUCAGAUUCAUCUGAGUCACUUGGUGAAUCACCCCAGCAAGCUGCAAGCACUUGACUUGAAAUCUUGUCAGCUUCAGCUUUCCUGUUAUACUUCAUAUGAACAUGCUUCUUGCCUCUGUUCUUAUAAAAAAUUUGUUUGACAUAAUCCUUGUACUCAACCUUAUGCAUUGGUCAAUUCUUGAUGUAAUAACCCAGCUUACCACACUUGUGACAGGUAUCAUUGCCAUUUUUGUCAUUGAAAUGCUUGCUAGAUUCAUCUCUUCUGGAUAAGUCCCCUGAAAUUUUUAAGGCUUUGAGCACCCUUUUAGCAAUAUAAGAUAUUUCAUCUUGUUCCAUUUCAUGAGUAUUCGUUAUGGCCUUCAGGGCUAAAUUUUUUUCCUUCUUGGCUUAUUCUUUACCUUCCCAAGUUUCUUCAACGUCUCAAAGGUUUUGAGAUUGCCUAUGAGCUCAUCCAUAGGCAUCUUAUUCAGAUCAUUGACUUCAAUGAUGGCAUUAACUUUGAUUUCCCACCUCUUUUAUACAAUUUUCAAUAAUUUACUAACCUGUUUGUGAGUAGGAAUAACUUCACCAAGAUAGUACAACUCAUCAGUUCUAGCAGUGAACCUGGUGUGCAUCUCUUGAAUGGGAUCUCCUUCCUGCAUAGUGGAAGUCUUAUAUUGAUUUGUCAACAUUUCCACCCUGGACUACUUAACCUGAGUAGUUCCUUCAUGGGAUUUCUGGAGACAAUCCCAGAUCUCUUUGGCAGUUUGACAGGCAGAGAUCCUAUUGUACUCAUCAGGACUAAUGCCACAUACAAUGAUCUUCUUGACCUUGUAAUUAUUUUGUUGUUUUUUUUUAAAAAAUAUGGGGCAGCAAAAAGGGGGUUAAAAUGACUCUCUUUGAAUUGAAAUGACUUUCAAGCUUUCAAUGACUUUCCAAUAAUUUUUUGAGCAUUGAGGGGCUUUAAAUAGCCAACAUAAAACAAAAAAAUUAGCAUAAUUUAAAUUUCAAAAUAAUCUAAAAUUUCUCUAACAACUAAAUCAACCUAAUCUAAAAUUUAAAAGUUAAAUUCAUUGUAACUAUACAAUUUGUUAAACUAAAAUUACUGCAGUAACUAAAUACAAACUAACACUCCUCCUUUGCUUUAGUUACUGCAAUUUAAAAUUUUCUCCUCCUCAAUUUGUGCUCUUAGAAUUGAUCUGGAUUUUUCUUGAUCUUUUUUCUUUUUUGAAUUUGGAAUUUCUUUUUUCUUCUUUUGGUUUUGUGCUUAAAGAACAACAUCAAAAAUCUUGUCUUGUUUGAAAGAGCUUUCAUAGGCUUCAUAAAAUAUUGUAAAAUUUUUCAUCAUCACAACAUCACAUAAAGCAUAGGUUUCAAGAUAUGAUUUUUUCAUAGAACAAAUUUUAUUACUUUUGUUUGUGAAAAUUUUUGGUAGGAACAAAAGGGCCCAUCCUCAGUGACAUCCCAUAGCUCUGAAUCCACAGCCAUGCUGAAGUCAUCCAUUCUUGUUUUCCACCACCCAUAAUAUUGACCGUUGAAUCUUGGAGGUCUGAUGGUUGACUUGCUUUCUUCUAGGUUUGGAGGAUCAGCAAUGUUUCAAGAUCCUUUCAAGGUGUUAGCCUUUUUAUGGAAGACCUGCUAUGAUACCAAAUGAAGAGUUGCAGCGGGUUGCUCUUUAACUUAGGGACCUGUACACAGAUGAACUCAAACAACAGAACUAAUGAAAGAAUAAAUAAUAAAGUGCAUGGUCCUCAUCCAACCCAACUUGAUCCCUGAUCCAAGACCCUGAUUCUAAAUUGACAUGAGACACAAAUUUGUACCACGAUCCGUGAGUUGACUUCCAACCAACUCUAGAAACCCUGAAACCCAACUCCUUUUUAAAUUUAAAUAACUGAUAGUUCAGGUGUGUUUCGCUAAAUAUUUUGUGAUACUUCAGAUAGAAAACUUAAAUACUUGAUAAUUCAGGUAUGAAACUAAGGAAAAGAGGAUACUUUAGAUAUGUUUUUCACCCUUAACUCAUUUUCAAUGAUAACUGAUGUUGCUUUAUCUUUUAACUUCAUUGGCGAGCUGCAGAUCUCUGAUAGAAUCGUACAGUUCACCUUCCUAAUCAUCUUACUGAUAGAGUUUUAACUUUUUUGCCACUUAAAGAUGUUGUUUCUUCUUCUAUUGUAGCUAAACCUUUUUAAAAUUCUUGGUUAUAUGCAAGAACACUUUGUUUUGAUAGAAUUUUUAAGAUCAAUAAUUGGGAUCUCUGCUCUACCUAUCCAGGAACAAUUCAUCUUAAAAAUUCUAUCAAAACAGUGUUCUUGCAUAUAACCAAGAAUUUUAAAAAGGUUUAGCCACAACAGACGAAGAAACAACAUCUUUAAGAUGCAAAAAAGUAAAAAUUCUAUCAGUAAGAUGAUUAGGAAGGUGAACAGUAGGAUUCUAUCAGAGAUCUGCAUUUCGCCAAUGAAGAAAAGAUACUUAGAUGCGGAGAUGAUAAGUUAUUAUUGAACAAAUCCAGAUAUUCUAGCUGUUUCGAAUCCCCUAGUGAGUUAGGAAUCUGGCCAGUGAAUCUAUUUUUGCCAAGAUAUAAUCCCUUUAGAUUUGAAGAAUUGGAGAUUGAGCUUGGUAUAACUCCACCAAUGUUGUUUGCAGCAAGAUUCAGAAGUUGUAGUUUUGUAGGACAGUAGCUUGAGGCAGAUGGAAGACUACCCGAAAGGUUAUUGAAGAGAACUGACACCCCUCUUAGCGUAGAGCUGUUGAAGAGCCCUUCCGGUAUGGAACCACUUAACUUAUUAAAUUGCAAAUAAAAUCUCUCCAAUUUGUGAAGAUUCCCAAUCUCUCGGGGUAUAACACCUGCCACAUGAAAGAGUAUAUCUAAAUUAAGUUUAUUUGAUUGCUCCAGUUUACAUCAAUAUAUAGAGUUCAUAAAUCAACAAUUAAUUCCAUGGAUAGUACUAGUCUAGAUAACCAAACAAGACCACAUUGCUUGAAAAUUACCUGAUAAAUUGAUGGCGUUCAAAUUAAGCAACCAUAGUGAUGAUACGUUGGAUAUGGUGAGCGCUAUUGAACCUACUAUGUGAUUGUUCUCCAGUUGUAGUUGCUGCAACUUUCGUAAAUUACCAAUCUUUGCUGGAAUUGUGCCUGCAAAUUAUUUUAACAAACAGCUACCAAACUUGAAAACUUUUAUGCUAUACCAAAGUGCUAUUUAAAUCUUGCGGGCUUACAGUGUGAAAAAUAUCUAAAGUGAAUUUUUUUGGUAGAAUGAAUAUCAUAAUUUUUAGUUAAAUUUCUAGAAUAGUCUAGUGAAUAAUAUCAUAGUUUUCUAGUAAAGCCUCUAGAAUACUCUACCUUAGUAUUUAGGAUAAUUAUCUUAGAAAAUAUCUAGAUUAUUCUUAGAUAGCUAGAUGAUAAAAGUUGUCUAAAUUGUUCUUGUAGAAGUAUCUAAAAUAGUAUCUAGAACCAUCCAUGGAUAAGUAUAAAUAGAGAUAGCCUUUGUACAUUUGUAAAUGUAGACACCUAAAAUUUAUUAGAUCACAUUCAUAUAAAAUUUGGAUUUGACCCAUAUUUUAUUGGGUCUAAAAUCAUUUUGGGCUAUAAAAAUUGUUAGAGUUAUGACCUGAAUUUUGAUUGAUGGACCUUUAUGUUUUUGGGCCUAGGACCUAGUUGUACACGUAAUAUAUAAGUGCGAUUUAGUGGGUUAUUUUAUUAUCAGAUAAUUUAGCCUUCUCCAUAUUGUACUCUCUUUCCAUUAUAGUGAAACCUUCUCUGCCUCUGCCUAUGGUUUUUUCCCGCAAGAGUUUUCACGUAAAUAUGAGUGUUGUUCUUAUUUUUUUUACUUUUGGUUUGCUUAUUCUAUCCGAAUCCUAACAAACUGGUAGCAAAGCUUGUUCGAUUGUUUUCUCAGGGAUGGCAACCAUGAAGUAUGAUAUUCUGUUGUUAGAUCGCAACACCAGAUUUUCGUUAUGGUAGGUUAAGAUGCGGGCUGUUCUCACGCAGAUAGAUUUAGACGAUGCUCUAUUAGAGUUUGAUAAGAUUCCCUCAUCGUGGACGGACGAGGACAAAUGGCAUAAGGAUCGAAAGGCUCUAUCUCAGAUCCACCUUCAUUUAUCCAAUCAGAUUCUACAGGAUGUUUUAAAGGAGACCACUUUCGCUGCGCUGUGGUUGAAAUUGGAAUCGUUGUGUAUGACGAAGAGCCAAACAAGUAAGUUACAUAUCGAACAAUGACUUUAUUCCCAUCGCAUGUCUGAGGGUGCAUCCUUGGAGGAUCACCUAUCUAUAUUUAAAUAAAUCAUCUCUGGUUUAGAGACUCUGGAGGUUAAGUACGAUGAGGAAGAUUUAGGGUUGAUUCUAUUAUGUUCGUUGCCUGUAUCAUACAUGACAUUUAUGGAAACAAUUUUAUAUAGUCGUGAUACCCUGGCGAUUGAUGAAGUCUUUGAUGCGUUGUUCUCUAAGGAGAAGAUAAAACAUCUUGUGGAUAGGUCAGAUACUCAAAAAGAUGAUCUCAUUGUUCGAGGAGGAAGGACUCGUGAGAGGAAUUAUGGGGGUGAUGACAGGAAUAGGUUGAGAUCAAGAAACAAAAACAAAAUCUGUAAUUACUGCAAGAAGAAGGGCCAUAUCAAAUCCGAGUGUUGGAAGCUAUAGAAUAGAGAGAAAAGAAAAGCUCCAAAACCGAAGGAAAACCAUCCAGAGAAGUUCGGUGAAGCUAGUGUUUUGGAAGAUGGUGGUAGUGAUGGAGAACUCUUAGUAGUUUCUGAUAGUAACUCCAAACCAUGUGAGGAUUGGAUUCUUGAUUCAGCUUGCACGUUUCAUAUGUGUCAUAAUCAGGAUUGGUUUACAAUAUAUAAAACAGUCUUUAAAGGUGCUGUAUUGAUGGGAAAUAACACACUUUGUAAAAUAACUGGUAUUGGAACAAUCAGGAUCAAGAUGUUUGAUAGGGUUGUGAGGAUACUUGGUGAUGUGCAGUAUGUCCCAGACCUGAAGAGAUCUUAUUUCCUUGAGUACCCUUGAUUCGAACAGUUAUAGGUACACUGGUGAAGGUGGAGUCCUAAAGGUUACUAAAGGUGCUCUUGUUGUGAUGAAGGGAUAGAGAAAGUCUGCAAAUUUGUAUGUCCUGCAAGGCUCUACUGUUACAGGUGAUGCAGCUAUUUCUACCUCUUUUCUAUCAGAAAGUGAUGUUCUAAACUUUGGCAUAUGCUCGAGGGGCAUAUGAGUAAAAAUGGGAUAGCUGACUAAGCAGGAGAGGACUUUUUGAUGGGAAGAGUAUUACCAAAUUGGAGUUCUAUGAGCACUGCAUUUUCAGGAAGCAGAAGAGAUUUAGAUUCACUAAAGGCAUCCACUCAACUAAGGGCACACUUGAUUACAUUCUUUCUGAUCUAGUGAGUCCUGCUAGAGUACCUUCUAGAGGAGGCUUUAAUUACUUAUUGAAUAUUAUUAAUGACUAUUCUAUAAAAGUUUAGGUGUUCUUUCUGAAGCAAAAGAAUGAUUUGUUGCCUACUUUCUAGGAGUGGAAGACUAUGAUUGAAAAUCAAAUAGGGAAACAGGUAAAACACCUUCAGACUGGUAAUGGUUUAGAGUUCUGUUCUAAUGAAUUUAAUGCUCUGUGCAAGUUAGAAGGAAUUGUGUGGCACUUGACAGUUUGUCAUACUCUGCAGCAGAAUGGUGUGGCUGAAUAAAUAAAUAGGACCAUAAUGGAGAAGGUACGUUGUAUGCUCUCUAAUGCUGGUUUACCCAAGUCUUUUUGGGACGAAGCUGCUUCCAUAUCUUGUUUUCUACUUAACCGCUCUCCCUCAGUUGCGAUUGAUAAAAAGACUUCACAAGAGGUAUGGUAUGGUGCUCCAGCUAGUUAUUCUGAUUUGAGGAUAUUUGGAUAUCCUAUGUAUGCUCAUAUUGAUAAUGGAAAGUUGGAACCUAGAUCUGUCAAAUAUUUAUUUAUGGGUUAUAAGCCUGGUGUUAAAGGUUAUAAGCUUUGGUGUCUAGAAAGUAGAAAGGUUAUAAUUAGCAAGGAUAUUAUGUUUGAUGAAACUGCCAUGCUUCAAGCUUCCUCCGAAUCUAGUGCUUCGCCCCCAGAUAAGCUUAGUGACAUGGAUCAGCAAAAGUCAAGCACCCAUGCUUAAUUGUAGAUUGGAGCAGAGUUUACACCAGUGCCUACCUCUCAGUCUAGCCUAGAGAUACAGAGUGAUACUAUUUUUUCUUCACCACCAGUGACUCUACAAUAUUCUAUUGCUAAAGAUAGGGCUAGAAGAGAUAUUAGACCUCCUCAGAAGUAUGCUGAAGCUGAUUUGGUUGCUUAUGCAUUGAGUGUAGUAGAAGGUAUUAAUUUCGGUGAAGAUUUUUCUUCUUACUCAGAGGCAGUUAGUUGUGAUAAUUUUGGCCGAUGGAUGAUUGCUAUACAGAAGGAGAUGAAAUCACUUCAUAAGAAUGGAACAUAGGAUUUGGUGAGAUUGCCUAAAGAUAAGAAAGUUGUUCGUGCAAGUGGGUAUUCAAAAAUAAAGAAGGAACAUUAGGAGUUAAAGAUGCUAGGUACAAAGUAAGACUAGUUGCUAAAGGUUACAGUCAGGUUUCAGGUAUUGACUUCAUAGAUGUGUUUUCUCCAGUUGUAAAGCAUAGUUUGAUUCGAGCAUUUGUUGGUAUUAUGGCCAUACACAAUCUUGAGCUUGAGCAGUUGGAUGUCAAAACUGUAUUCUUACAUGAAGAACUUGAGGAGGACAUCUAUAUGCAGCAACCAAAGGGUUUUGUAGUCUUAGGAAAUGAGGACUAUGUAUGUGAUAUGAGUACGACCACGAGGAUGGACGAGAACGAGUGCAUAUUGAAUCCCUCCAAGGAAGUGCACGAGUGAAGUGUAAAAAAGGGCCUAAAUGCACUAAAAACAGCCCCUAAGUUACACUUGAUGGGCAUCUCACCCUUGAGGGGUAUUGUGGUCAUUUUGUAUUCUAUUUUGUAAUACACUAUAUAUAGAACCUCAUAGGGUUUUUAGUCUUAGUUUUGAUGAAUAUUAAAAGUUGUAGACUCUUAGACAUUUCUCUCUUGUGAGAAAGACCCCUAUGGCCAAACAUUGUAACUAGGGAUUUCAACUUGAGUGUGGAAUCACUCGUGUUAGAUUCAAGCUUGUAAACGUUAGAUGCUUGGGAGAUCGAGGUCCCUCUUGUGCCACAGAAGAGAUAGGUGAAUUGUAGUGUGUAGUGUUAAGGGUCCAAGAGUGGAAUAUGCUCUUGGAUUCUUAAGAUUAUGCUUUCAUGUAGUCUAUCUUUUUAUCCCUUUGUUUAGUGUAAUCUUUUGGUGUUGCUUCUUGUGUUGUUAAAACCGUUGUUAUUAUUAUUGUAAUCCUCUUGUUCUUCACGUGUUGAUGCUGUUUUGGGUGUUAUAUACAUCAUUAAAUCUUGUAUUCUUCUUGUUGGUAGCAAAUUCGAGAGUGGUCUCCAAAAGGUCCUUGGAUCCUUAAGAUUAGUGGACUGAUUUGGAGUGUGUUUCGUAUUCUCCCUGUUUGUCUUGUAUCAGUAUGCUUGUUGAAAAGGUCUCUUUAUGGCUUAAAGUAGUCUCCUAAGAAGUGGUAUAAGAGGUUUGACUCUUUUAUGACCUCUCAUAUGUUUCAGAGAAGUAGCUACGAUAGUUGUGUCUACUUUAAGAAGGUAAGUGAUGAUUCAUUCAUGUAUCUUCUCUUGUAUGUUGAUGAUAUGUUGAUUGCAGCAAAGGAUAUGUGAGAGAUAAUAAAAGUCAAAGCCCAUCUCAGUAAGGAGUUUGACAUAAAGGAUCUAGGAGCAGCAAAGAAGAUCCUUGGCAUGGAAAUUAUGCAGGAUGGAGAAAAGUGUAAGUUAUAUUUGAGUCCGAAAAGGUAUAUUGAGAAAUUUCUUCAUUGGUUCAAUAUGAAAAAUGCCAAACGUGUAAGUACUCCAUUGGCAGCUCACUUCAAAUUCUCGGCCACUUUUUCUCCAAAAAUAGAUGAUGAGCGUGACUAUAUGUCUCGACUUCCAUACUCUAGUGCCGUUGGGUCUCUAAUGUAUGCGAUGGUGUGUUCCUGACUAGAUUUAUCUUAUUCCUUCUAUGCAAUUAGCAGAUAUAUGGAAAAUCCUGGCAAAGAACAUUGGAAAGCAGUUUAGUGGAUUUUCAAAUUCUUGCAUAGAUCUGUUGAUGUUGGUUUGCAGUUUGGGCAAAACAGAGAUGGAGUAAUAGGGUAUGUUAAUUCUGAUUUUGUAGGAGAUCGUGAUAAAAGGAGGUCCCUUACAGGCUAUGUUUUCACCAUUAGUGGUUGUGCUAUUAGUUAGAAAGCUACCUUACAGACUACGGUUUCUUUGUCAACUACUGAGGUAGAGUAAAUGGCUAUUAUAGAGGCUUUCAAGGAAGCUAUUUGGUUGAAGGGUCUAUUUAGUAAACUUAUCAAAUACUUAUAGAUUACUACAGUCUUUUGUGGCAGUUAGAGUUCUAUCUUCCAUAUAGAUGAUUAGAUGUUUCAUGAGAGUACAAAGCACAUCGAUGUUCGGUAUCAUUUUGUACGUGAAAUUAUUGCUCGUGGUGAUAUUGUGGUGAACAAGAUUAGUACUUAUGAUAAUCCCGAUGAUAUGAUGAACACUACCAAGUUCCAAGUUUGAGCAUUGAUUGGACUUGGUUAGUGUUAGCUGUUAAGAUGUGCCCUUAGGGGAUUUUGUGAAAGAGGUGGAGAGUUUGUCUUGAAAUGGAUUUGAGUUCUGAAUUAGAAUUCGUGUCAAGGUGGAGAUUGUUAGAGUUGUGACCCGAAUUUUUGUUGAUGGACCUUUAUGAUUUUGUGCCUAGGACCUAUUUGUAUGCACGUAAUAUAUAAGUGUGAUUUAGUGGGUUAUUUUAUUAUUCUUAAAAUUCAGCCUUCUCCAUAUUGUACUCUCUUUCCAUUAUAGUGAAACCUUCUCUGCCUCUGCCUGUGGUUUUUUCCCGCAAGGGGUUUCACAUAAAUCUUAGUGUUGUUCUUGUUUUCUUUUACUUGUGGUUUGCUUAUUCUAUCCAAAUCCUAACAAAAAUAAUAAACCCAUUUUAUUCCUCAUCAAGGACUUCAAGGUCCAUCUCACCUUGAGGCUCAAACUUAUGCCAUGUGCCAAGUGAUAUGGCAUCCCAGUCAGAUUAAAGACCAAUAAGGCAAGGCCAUACACUCAAAUGAUAUGCAGUCCAAGUCAAGUUCAAGAGCCAAUAAAACAUCGCCAAGUGUCCCAAAUGACAUAUUUUUUGGCCAAUCACAAGCAACUUAUCACAUGAUAAGCUUGAAAACUGAAUGGACCAAUCAGAAUGAGGCAGAAGAGGUUAUUUACACUUGGAAUGCCUACCCCUUACAACUAUAAAUAAGAGGAUUACAUAAUUUUUUUGGUCACUCUGCAAGCAUUGGAGAAAGCUCUGCAUUGACUACACAGCUCUUCAAAGAAUUAACUUACGGAGUUUUUCCCGGAUAUCAAUUCGACAAGGCAAAGUGCUAUUUGACAUUUCUGGAGAUCUAAACGCAUUUCUAGGAGGCUCAAAUCAUCCAAAAGUUUGAGAAUUACACUACAAAAUUCCCUUGACUUGGAUUGCCACAUUAUUUAAGUGUGUUGCCUUUCCUCAUUGGUCUUUAAUUUGACUGGGAUGCCACGUCACUUGACAUGUGGCAUAAGUUUGGGCCUCAAGGUGAGAUGGACUUACAACAAUUUGUUGUGAACAGUAACCAACUAAAAUAUAAUCCAAUUCAAGAAGUCUUCUUCCAUAACAAAACCUCUUCUUUCAUAGCUUACUCUUCUUUAGUUGAAUCUUCCAAUCUUAGUUAACAAUCUUGGGCUAGUAGAAGGUCUCUCUGACGACACCUCUCUUUUGCUAUUCUCCACAUAGUAUCAGAACUAAAGUCACUGACUUGUGUUUAUUUCGAGAUCGGGUUAGUGGUCAAUUCAACUAGUUUGUGCAAAUGAUUGAAGCGGUCAUGUUGAUACGAUACAAACAAGGAGAAAAUGAAACACACUCCAAAACAGUCCACUGAUCUUAAGGAUCCGAGGACCUUUUGGAGACCACUCUCAGAUUCACUACAAUGACAAUAAGAACGAGAUAUAAGGGUGUGUUUCAAUCCCAAAACAGCCACCACAAACUAAUAUUAUCAACACAAGAUGAAGAGCACGAAGAACAAUAACAAUACUAUAACAACAACUCACGGGUUCCACAAAUAAGACACACAAUGGUUACAAGAUUACAAUGAACAAAAGUAUAGAUAGAUAUACUACAUGAAGGCAUAAUAUUAAGAAAUCAAGAGCUUAUUCCACUCUUGGACCCUUAACACUACACACAACAAUUUACCUAUCUCUUACGUUGGCACAAGACGGACCUCUAUCUCCCAAGCAUCCAACGUUUCCAAGCUUGAAUCUAACACGAGUGAUUCCACAGUCAAGUUGAAAUUAAACCUAGUUACAAUUUCGGCCAAGGAGGGCCUUUAUCUCAAGAGAAAUGUCUCUAAGUUUUACACUUUCAUAUUCAUCAAAAACUAACUACUAAAAACCAUAAAAGGUUCUAUUUAUAGCAUAUUACAAAAGUAAGGUGAAAUGACCAAAAAGGUCCUUUAAUGAAUGACUUCAAGUAGGCGCCCUUGGAGUGCUAUGUAUGGGCGGUUUUGGUGUCUAUUUAGGUUCUUCUUUGCACUUCAUUUACACACACCAAGUAUUAGGUCCAACAUACGUCCUCAUAAGUCUAUCUACAUGAUCAUACAUGUAUCACACGUUAAUGGACUAGGAAUGGAGAUCAGUCUAAUUAUAAGGUAUGUAAGACAUGUAUGGAAUCAUACCUUAUGGGCGAGAAUUUGUGGGCUAUUGUUAAUGGGAGUAACACAAGUCCUCCUGCUGACAAACCAGAAAAUAGUGAUGAAUAUAAGAAGUGGAAGUAGAUUAAUGUGAAGGUAGAGUUCAUAUUGAAGAGGACCAUCUCUUCAAAUUUUUUUGACCAUAUUAUAAGGUGUAAAUUAGCUCAUGAAAUAUGGAGGACCCUCGAUUAGUUAUUCAACAAGAAAAAUAAAGCUCGACUACAGAUCUUGGAGAAUGAAUUGGCUAACACCACCCAAGGAAAUAUUUCUAUUGUCGAGUAUUUCUUAACGAUUAAGAAUUUAUGUUCUGAGAUCUCUUUAUUAAAUUUGGAUGAGGCUAUCUCUGAAGCAUGAAUGAGAGAAAUUAUCAUUUGUUGUUUUAACCUAGAAAAUAUUCCCUUUGUGACAUUGAUUCAAUGAUGGGAUCAACAAGCAUCCUUGGAGGAAUUUGAGAAUUUGUUGUCAUCACAGGAGUUACUAGCCAAACAACUGGCUAGUGAAUUGGUCAAAGAAACUGAAGGAAAUGCUCUUGUAGCUGACAAGAGGGAUGUUAAAGAAACAACAAGAGAUAUGCCUCACUCUCGAUUAUCAAGUGGUUCAAGCACUCCUAGUAAGAAUGAAAAGUCUUUUCAUGAUUAUAGUAAGAAGCCUCUCAGAUGUUAUUGAUAUGAAAAAGUAGUACACAUAAGAAGAUAUUGUUGAGCCACAGAGAGCAACAUGACUCUAACUGAAAAAGUUGUUGAAGAAGUAGAAGGCUGGGGAAGAUGCUUAGAAGCUGAGAGUCGAGUGGUAGAUGCCUUGGCUUUUAUAAAUUUGAAAAGAGAUUAGAUCUAAUAUAAUACAAUCCAUCAUGUGGAGAAGAAAGGUACUGACAAGAAGCAAGAAAAUUUUGAAGACGUUUAGACAGGCGACACGGUAGCUGCUCUUAAGGAAAUCAAAGAAAAAAAAUCCUAAAAAUGACAAUAAAAAUUUGGACAUGGAGGAUAUUGAAGUAAAUUCUGAGCAAACAGUAUCCAAAAGUUUAUAUGCCAGUGAUGACUUAAAUGGAGAAAGCACUAAGAAAGAUGUAGUAGAAGUUGUAGUCUCUGAUCAAUCAUCUAUUGUAUCAAGGUUAAUUAUUGGCUCAGAGCAAAUAUUGAAAGUUCAUGAAUAAGCUAAAGAUCAAAUGACUGAUGAAGUUAAAAGAGAGUCUUAAUUUCAGAUGUAGAGAGACGUUGUAUGAUUGAAGAACUAGAUAGGGAAUCUAGUGGUGGAUCCUAUUAUGGUAUUGAGACUUCACAGAAAAUUGGUGAUGGUACAGAUGAAUUCUCCUUGUGUUAGUAAGUUCUAAAAGUUUGAAUCCUAGAGUUUCAAACUUUUUCAUCACAUGAGUGUCUCCAGAUAAUAAAGUUGUGGAGGAGUUCAGAGAAAGGGGGACCUUGAGAACUCAACAUCAUAAAACUCAUCAUGGUGAUGAUUCAUAUGGUUCUCAAAGGGCAAAGAGGACUAUUGUCAAGCUAUCUUGCUACAGAGAUGAUAAUUUUGUCAUAAAUAUUCAUGCUUCUUUGUAGGACAAAUUGAUGAUGGAAGUCUUCUUCAUUGAAAAAAGAAUGGGGAGUUGAAAAAAAAACUUGCUAAGAGUUUCAAGGCAUGGUUCAAAGCUUUGUUUGAGUUCGUCUGCAACAAUUUUGGGAUAGCUUCCAAAAAAUCACUUUAAGGGGAGUGUGAAAAAUAUCUCAAGUGGAUUUUUUGGAAGAAUGAAUAUCAUAGUUUUCUAGUUAAAUUUCUAGAAUAGCCUAGUGAAUAAUAUCAUAGUUUUCUAGUAAAGUCUCUAGAAUACUCUACCAUAGUAUUUAGGAUAAUUAUCUUAGAAAAAUAUCUAGAUUAUUCUUAGAUAGCUAGAAGAUAAAAGUUGCCUAGAUUAUUCUUGUAGAAGUAUCUAGAAUAGUAUCUAGAACAAUCCAUGGAUAAGUAUAAAUUGGGAGAGCCUUUGUACGUUUGUAUCAACUAAAAAACAAUCCAAUUCAAGAAUUCUUUUUCCAUAACAAAGCCUUCUUUCAUAGCUUUCUCUUCUUUAGUUGAAUCUUCCGAUGUUAGUUCCGAUCUUAGUUAAGGAUCUUAGGCUAGCAGAAGUUCUUUCCAACGACACCUUUCUUUUGCUAUUCUCUACAUACAGAUGCAAAGUAGGAUGUUUAUUCACAUUUAGAAAGUCUCAAAAAUGUACCUUGCAAGUUGUUUCCCCCCGAGGCUUAAGAACUCAAGCAACUCCAAGUUUACAAUUCUGGUGGAAUACUCCCGCUGAAGAUAAUGAAAAUUCAUACAGUUCUGUGCAGUUUGACAAACCUGUUAGAAUGUGACCACACAAGUGGUUGGAAAUGAUUGAAAUGAUCUUGAUUCUGUGAAGAUGAUGACAUAUAUCUACAGGAAGACUCCUGAUAAAUGAUUAUAUGUGAGAGCUAAAUUUCCAAAGAGGAAAUGUUGAAAAUGGAGAAUGGAAUAGAGCCAGUAAGUUGGUUGUUGACUAAAACCAACUCCUGUAGGUUCUGAAGGUUCCCAAUCUCCUUGGGAAUCUCACCCGUGAAAUUAUUGUACCUGAGAUCGAUCACCUUCAAUCAAUUAAAUGAGACAAAUCCUGUGGGAGGUAUCUAGAAACUGUUUUUGCUUAGAUUGAGAGGUACGAGAAAAGAGAGGUUCUCCAAAUGUGGUGAAAUGGUUCCAAGACUAUUCAUGUUGGAUAUAUUUAGUGUAGUCACCCUAUGGUGGCAAGAGCCACAAGUGACUCCAAUCCAAUCACAAACUGAAGCUUGAGAAGACCAAUUCUGGGUUAAGGGAUGAGAAGAAUUUAGAUUAAAGCUGGCUUUUAUGGAAAGUAGAGCUGAUUGAUCUGCAUUGAUAUUUUGAGUAUGCAGUCUCUAAGAAGUAGAGCUGCAAGACUACUACUUAAAGAAUGAAAGAGUAGUCUUUCUCCAUCAUUGCUACUGUAUAUAAAAUAAGGAAAAAUAAAUGUGCAGAUAUAAAUAGGGAUAAAAGUUUGCUAAGCAAUGAUUACCUUAUUAUCAAGGAAAGAAGGCCAAGCAACGCCGUAUGUAAGGGGAUUGUAAAUUUUCCAGAUUAGGACCACUUGAGUUUUUUAAAGUCCUAUGAAAUUAAAGUUUGUUUCGAAAAAAAAGGCGUUAGAUUCCGUCUUUAUUGAAUGUUCUAUGAAGUGUGACUUGAUUGUCUGACUUUGGCAUUAUCUUGAAUGUCACGAUCCGAAUCGAGGCCCUGACCGCGACGAACAUCCCGAACUAUGAAGGCUCGAGAGCCCUUUUCUAACCGAAAAUCAUAAGCAUAAUUCAUAAACUAUAAAAAUGCGGAAAACAAAACAAAACGGAAUCAUGGUCAUCUUAAUCUAUCAUUUAAACAAUACGGACAUAAGUUCAAUAAGACCCAAAACCAUCUAACACAAGUCUGUGAGAUCUCUACAAAACUAAAAAGAACAUCUGUCUGAAAUUGGGACAAGGCCCCCGAUUGGACCGUGUGCUAAAACCAAAUGAAUACAUUUCAGUGAAAUCAAGCCUUCCAAAACAAGGGAGGCUCACCAACUUCAAACGUCUGAAAUCGAUCUACUGCUUAGCGGGACCCGGGACUGAGCCUCAGAUCCUAAACUAUAGGGUGUCAAUACAAAAUAUAUUGGUACGUAGAACAAUCCAAAAACAAAAUAUAUUUUUAUACAACAAAGGUCAGAGUAUUUCAUAAAAUCAUGUCAGCAUAAUUUUUUUUUAAAGUACAUGGGCAGUUUCAAUAGACUUUAAAACAUUUCUGUAAAUCUCAACUCUUUGUCUUACUUCUGAGCUAGGUGAGGUACACCUUACAAUUCUACAAUCCCAUGGGCUAUAUGGAAUCCGCCCUUGACUUGAUGUUCAAGCCCCCAACUCAAGUUUUCCACAAGGGGUGGAGUUUCUGAUUCUUAUAAAGGGGCACAAGGCCAACAUAUAAUCUCCUAUUUAGGAUAUAAUAAAACCCGUAUCGACAAAACAUGAUUUCAGGCAAUGAGUUUUUCAGACUCAUGCCUUCUUCAGGUAACCACCUAACUCUCUUUAAUCCCAUUUUUAACCCUUUCUAAACAUGCAUCUUUCUAAACUCAAAACCUGAAUGAAAAUUUGCAUUUUGUUUUGUUCUGUGUGUAUCAUGGUAUUUUCUAUUUUGGUAUCAUCAUACCAAGACUUGCAAGUCAUAUAUCUAAGCCAUAUCAUAUUUUGCUUUUGGUUUUCAAUCAACCCAUUCAUUCAACCAUAAAAAAAUAUUUAAACAAUGCAAGAGAGUUCUUAAUUCAAAACAUGUGAAACUUAUGCAAAUGCUCUCUCUUUUCAAUACUUUAACACAUGGUGGUCAUUUUCUUUCUAACAAUACAUGCAACUCUUUUAAUUAUCCAAUAGAACAUUUGCAAACAAGAAAACACCCUCUCUUCAAUUCAUAACCAAUAUCAAGUUUGUAAGCAAUAUUAAAACAUUCGUCUCAUGCUUCUAAUCAUGCAAUUUAAUAACCCACAAUAUGUGAGAUCAAAUGGUAUCAUAACAAGAGGGGGGAAAAUUUAUUGUAUAUGCUCUCAAUUCCACUUUUGCAAAAUUAAAAAUACUUCUAUGUAUACAAACAUGAUUUAAUUCUAUGAAAGGGCCUCAAGACCAAAACUCUAUAUCAUCAAAAAGGUUCACAAUGCAUAAUCUUUAAAGUAUUUUUAGAACCCUUCAUAAAUGCAUGAUUUCAUAACUUUAAAACUUACUAAAAAUAUAUGCACUAUGACCAUGAAGUUUAUGAUAGCCCCACAUACCUUAAGUUCCUUUGUUUGAAAAAUAGAACCCUAAUCUUGAAACUUUUCUUGAGAAUCUUGAAUUGAAAAGCUUGAAUUCUUGUAUCUUGGAGAAGAGGGAAGGGUUUUUUUUAAGAGUGAAUUGAAGAGAAUAAGAAAUUUUGUGUCUUAAUUAUGUUAUUAAUCGGGAUUAGAUGAAUAGAAUUGAUAUAAAAGGACAUAAUUACCCCUCAGGCAUUUAAACUCGUAACUGAAUCCCGGUUUGGAGGUCCACCGCGAUGCGCUAGGGGGCUUAUCGCCAUAGGCACCGUGACGCAGUACAAUCACAAGGAAGUACUAUUUUUGUGAUCCAAACAUGACCCAAUCCUCAUUUGAAAAAUCUAAAACUUCUCCGAGACAUGCCAUUUACACCCUUAAACGUGAAUUGACUCAAAAAUCUAUGUCUCGGGGUUGGGAAGACCAAAUUUAAAAUCUUUGAAGUUAGGAGGCUGAAAAUAUGCCUAAGAUAUCAACACUUAGAAAAUUUUUCAUGUCCUUAACUUUUCAUGCAUGCAACUAAAAGUUGAAACUAGUUAAGAAUAGUACGGGGUGUUACAUUAUGCCCCCUUGGGAUCAUUCAUCCCUGAAUAAUGAUGACUCGGGACACAACAAGAACGAUUUCAAGCAAUACAAUGAAAGAAAAGAGUACUAUAAGAUUUGUACCUUCCAUAACAUCAUCCACGGUUUCAAAGAGAGUCGGAUACCUCAUAUGCAUGUCAUCCUCCGACUCCCAAGUAGCUUCUUCAGCUUUUUAAUUCUUCCAUAACAUCUUCACCGAAAUUUUCUCCUUACUCCUCAACUUUCGAACUUGAUGAUCUAAAAUGGCAAUGGAUUCUUCUUCGUAUGACAAAGAGUAUUUUACAUUAAUUUCUUCCACAUGCAACAUAAGAGAAUGAUCUCCAAUAUAUUUCUUCAGCAUAGAUAGAUGGAAUACAAAAUGUACAGAAGCUAGACUCGCAGGCAAAUCUAAUUUAUAAGUAACUCCACCAAUCCUCCUUGUAAUUUGAUAUGGGCCUAUAUAAUGAGGACUAAGCUUCCCUUUAUUUCCAAAUCACAUGACUCCCUACAUAGGGGAGACGUUUAGAAAUACCCAAUCAUCAACCUUAAAUUCCAACUCCCUUUGUCUAACAUUGGCGUAGAACUUUUGGAGACUCUAAGCUAUCUGAAGUCGCUCUCUAAUGACCUUCACUUUCUCUAUCACUUGAUGAACAAGGCCAGGCCCAAACAAAUUGGUUUUACCCAUUGCAUACCACCCAAUUGGGGAUCUACAUCUCCACCCAUAAAAAGCUUCAAAAGGAGUCAUCUGGAUACUGGAAUGAUAGCUAUUAUUAUAGGAGAAUUCUAUCAAUGACACGUGAUCCACCUAACUACCCUUGAAGUCAAUUACGCAAGCUCUCAGCAUAUCAUCUAAGGUCUGAAUAGUGCGUUCUGCUUGCGCAUCUAUUUGAGGGUGAAUGGCAGUACUAAGGUUUACUUGGGUAGCUAAACCCCUCUAAAAAGACUGCCAAAACUGAGAAGAAAACUGUGUUCCUUGAUCGAAAAUAAUAGACAUUGGAGACCCAUGCAAACGGACUAUCUCGCGAAUGUACAACUUAGCAUAGUCAUCCCUCGAAUAGUUGGUCCGUACUGGAAGAAAAUGGGCGGACUUGGUCAUCCUAUCUACAAUCACCCAAAUGGAGUCAUAUGGGUUUCAUGAUUUCGGAAGUCCUGCAAUGAAGCCCAUGUUGAUCAUCUCCCACUUUCACAUAGGCAGAGUUAUCUCUUAGAAAGUGCCACCUGGCUUCAAAUGUUUAAUCUUAACUUGUUGAAAAUUCAAACACUUAACCACAAAGUUAGCAAUAUCUCUUUUCAUAUUAUUCCACCAGAAAAUAGCCUUAAGGUCAUGAUACAUUUUAGUAGAAUCGGGGUGAACCACAUACCUAGAAAUGUGAGCUUCAUCAAGAAUUCUUUCUCAUAACCUAUCUAUAUUUGGCACACAUAGCCUUUCUUGAUACCUCAAAAUCUCAUCACCGCCAAUUUCAAAAGCCAUUACCUUUUUUCCACCAACAUCUUUCUUAAUCAGCAUCAAGAUGGGGUCCUCAGCCUAUUUCUCCUUAGAUUCUGCAUAAAGGGAGAAUUUUACUACCUCGUGAAUGAAUAUCUCUCCAUCUUCAGAAUCUAAGAGUAGAACUCCCAAAGUUGCAAGCUGAUGAAUAUCUUUUACCAUAUUCCUCUUUCCUUCCUCCACAUGAGAAAGGCCACCCAUGGAAAACCUACUAAGGGUAUCAGUCGCUACAUUAUCCUCGCUGAAUGAUAAUGCAAACUCAUUUGAUAAUCCUUUAACAAUUCCAGCCACUGCCUUUGCCUGAGAUUUAGUUCUUUCUAUGUGAAAACAUACUACAAAUUUUUGUGGUCAGUAAAUAUAUCAAUAUGCACCCCAUAAAGAUAAUGAUGCCAAAUAUUUAGUGCGAAUACCACUGCCGCUAAUUCCAAGUCGUAGGUGGUAUUGUUCUUUUCAUGCACCUUCAACUGUCUAGAUGCAUAGGACACCACCUUACCAUGCUGCAUAAUCACACACCCAAGUACCACUCGAGAUUCAUCACAGUACACAACAAAUCCCUCUGUACCCUUAAGAAGGGUCAAAACUGGUGUAGUAGUCAACUUCUCUUUCAGUUUAUCAAAACUAUCCUCACAAGAGUCAGACCAUAAAAAUUUUACCUUUUUCUGAGUCAACCUAGUAAGUGGAGUAGCUAUGGAGGAGAAACUCUCUACAAAUCCUCUAUAAUACCCUACCAAAUCUAUGAAGCUCCGAAUAUUGAUUGGAGUCAUGGGUUUGUGCCAUUUUUAACCUGCCUCAACCUUUUGGGGGUCAACUCUAAUUCCUUCACUAGAAACAAUAUGCCACAAGAAAGCAAUAACACUAAGAUAGAAUUCACACUUGGAAAACUUUGCAUACAAAUCAUGGUAAUUGAGGGUCUAAAGGAUAGUUCGAAGGUAAUUUGCAUGAUCCUCCACAUUCUUAGAGUAAACCAAUAUGUCGUCAAUAAAGACUAUAACGAACAAAUCUAGAAACUGAUGAAACACCCUAUUCAUUAGGUCUAUAAAAGUUACGGGGUCAUUAAUCAGUCUGAAGGACAUAACUAAGAAUUCAUAACGACCAUAUCAGUUCGAAAAGCCGUUUUAGGAAUAUCAGCCUCCCUAACCUUCAACUGAUGAUACCCCAAACGAAGGUCUAUCUUAUAGAAAUAUUUAGCACCCUGAAGUUGGUCAAAAAGAUCGUUAAUUCUGGGAAAAGGGUAUUUAUUCUUGACUAUGACUUUAUUCAGAUGGAGGUAAUCUAUACACAUAUGGAGAGAGCCAUCUUUCUUGCACAAGAAGAGUAUCGGAGCACUCCAGGGAGAGACACUAGGAUGAAUAAAACCUUUGUCAAGAAGGUUUUUUAAAAGUUCUUUCAAAUCUUUCAAUUCUACAGGAGCCAUUUUAUAUGGCGGAGUAGAAAUAAGACGGGUGUCUGGCAACAAAUCGAUGCCAAAAUCUAUCGGCCUAUCUGGUGGUAUCCCGGGAAGAUUAUCAGGAAAGACUUCUGUGAAUUCAUUAACUAUGGGAGUAGACUGAAGGGAGGACUUUCAGUGCUAGAAUCUUUGACCCGAACAAGAUGGUAUAUAUAACCCUUUGAUAUAAGCUUACAAGCUCUAACAUAGGAUAUGAAUUUCCCCUAGGUGCUAUAGAGUAUCCCUCCAACUCUAUCACCAACUUAUUUGGGGAAGAAAAGGUAACCUUUAUGGUUCUACAGUCUAACAUAGAUAACAUGAAUAGAGAUAAUCCAUUCCCAAAAUAGCAUCAAAAUCAAUCAUUUCCAUUUCAACAAGAUUAACCACAGUAUCAUGAUGACUAAUAGACACCACACAAUUUCUAUAAACUUUCCUAGACACAAUAGAAUCACCAAUAGGUAUGGAAACAACUAAAGGUACCAAAAUAUUUUAAGGCUCAAAACCAAAACUCACUAACACAUAUGGUGUCACAUAGUACAAGGUAGAUCCAGGAUCAAGUAAUACAUACACAUCAUGGGAUAAAAUCUAUAAUAUACCCAUAAUAGCACCUAGCAAAGCCUCAGCCUCCUGGCAGUUAGAUAGAGCAUACAACCUAUUACAACCACUUCCAGUAGAUGAAGUAGUAAACUUAGGUGGUGGAGCUGUGGAAUUUUCUUGAGACCUAGCACUACCAAAAUUUCCUCUUGUGGAAGGAUAGUCUCUCUGAAAAUGGCCUGACUAACCAUAAGUAUAGCACACCAACCUACCCAACUAACACUUCCUUGGGUGAUGUUUACUGCAAGUCCUAUAUCAUGUAAAAGAUCGAUACGGCUGAGCUACACUACCUUGGGACUGAGUACCCUACACACCCAGUCUAUGGUUAGACUGAGAAUUCUGAAAUCACCGAUUGACUGGAGGUCUAGGCGUCGGGGCACUAGCUGAUGAUUGAGCAUUGCUCCAAAAUUUCUUCUUAGACCAUUGGUUACCCUAAUUUCUACCUUGAUGCUGAUUGGUAUUCUGAUCUACAGACCUAGAUUUUUUUUGCCUUUCUUUCUUUCCCCCUUACCUCAGCCAACCUUUUUUUCUCCUCUUCUGCCUGCUACAUGUGCACCAAUAUUCUGGAAAAAUCCAUGUCCAUAUUCAAUAUAUCCCCCUCACAUUCUAGAACCAAAUCAUCUGAGAGACCAAAUGCAAACUUCCUCAUGCGAGCUCUUAUAUUACCCACCAAUUCUGUAGCAUAACGGGACAACUGGGUGAAUGUUAAUGUAUAUUCUUUGACACUUAUCUUUCCUUAUUCCAGGUUCAUAAAUUGCUUCCCUCGGCUCUUGGAGAAAGAAAUGAUCCAGGAAAUCUUCCACAAACUCACCCCAUACUGAAGGUUUAACAUCUCCACCCCUCAAAUCUUCCCAUUCAUUGUACCACUGGUUAGCUACAUCCUUCAACUGAUAGGCUGCCAACUCACAACAUAUGAAAACAAAUGGUAUCAUAACAAGAGAGGGGGAAAUUCAUUGCACAUGAUCUCAAUUCCACUUUUGCAAACUUGAAAAUACUUCUAUGUAUACAAACAUGAUUUAAUUCUAUGUUAUACGGGUUUCAAGGGAUCGAGACCAUUUACUAGAAGCCAAGCUCGGGAACUACAAAAACUUCAAGGCGCGUUUAUGAAAAUAGAUGCGGUUGAGCUUGUUGCUAACUCGCCCAAGGGAGUUUAGCCUUAACAUGUGAGGGAUGACCUUAGGUUCUAAAAAUACACCCAAGGCUUCCCCAAAACACUCCACACCUGCCACCCCUUCAUUAAGGGUAAAGGGGUCCUUUUGCAACACCUUUGUAAUAAACUAUUUAAAUAUUUUCCUUAGUCUUGUUCCUUAGUUAGAUUAUUUUUAAAUCAAUAUUGUAAAAUUGAAACAUCAUUCUCUUAAGAGAGAGUAGACCACCAUUGACAUCACAAAAGAUGAUUUUCUUCUUGUGUUGUGUGUAUCGACUAAAAAUGUGAGUUCUUGAGUGAACCGAGUUCCUCUUGGAUUUGCGUAAGAACUUGGUUCUUGUUAAAUUAUUUUUUAGAGGUUUUAGAGUUUGAUACACUCUAUAGUUGAUACCUAGUGAGUUCUCUUUAUUGUUUUUUAGUGUCAAGUUACCUAUCCUUUUUAUUGUUUUAAGUUUGUGUUUGCUUCCUGUAUUGUAUUGUUGUCUUGUUGUUGCGGGUUUAGGCAUGUUUUUGUGACUAUUUACGGACUAUUUUGGUGUAGUAGAUACCUUUUGGUAUCAUUUGGUAUCAGAGAGAAGGCUGGUCGUGUUCUUUCACCACCAAUCUUGGGCUCUCCUAGUUGAAAAUCAUAAAAAAAGGUGUUGUCGGGCUACUUGUGUUUGGCCAAGAAGUUGUCCAGAUUUAGGUGUUUUUGCUUGUCUUAGUGGUUUCGUGUUUUACCUUUUUGUUUCCCUAUCACACUUGAGUCGAAGGUCCAAGAUUUGAGCUCUUGUUAAGUGUUGUUGAAGGGAUGGACAGCUUGGAAAUUAUUGUUGUUCAAAGUGUUCUUGUUGUUGUUCGUAUUGUUCUUGAGUAAUAUUCAACAAAAGGCCUUGUUUGAUUUGAAGAGGAGAAGAAAGAGGUAAAGUCUUUUGUUUGUCUUGGAAUUAGUUUCAAAACAACACCAAAGAGGCAAAUAAACAAAAGACCUCCCAAAAGCUUACUUACCAAAAGAGUGUCAAACCUUUUUCUAAAAGAACCAAAAGAGGAAAGGGACAAAGCCAAAGAAAAAAGGUGUUUGGCCAUUUUGGUACAAGUUGGUGAAAUGUUGAUUGAUACCUUUGACCUUUGGAAAGAGAGUCCAAAGUCUUUCCUUUUCACUCAAAAACCAAAAAUCCUCACCAAACAAACAAGAUUGAACAACUCAAGUUAGAAAACAUCAAAGUGCAAACAAAAACAACAUCACCAACGGCCAAAUUACUGGGCCACGCCAAUAACUAGGCUCAAGUCAUUGGACAUUCUUAGUUUCUCUCCUUGUCUCUACUAGUUUCUUUCUAUUAACUCCUACACUAGUUGGGAACUAAGUAAAUAUCUACUAAGUAGUGAACUAGUUUUCAAGUACGUCUUUCGUGUUAACGUUCCUUGUGGUGCUUUGCUCAUUUAUAAUUCGUAGUUAUUCUUGGUUCAAGUGCGUACAAGACUUUCUUGAGUCUUCCAAACCAUUGUAUUCAACAUGAAUAACCUUCUCGUUUUCAAGUCAAAAUUAUAUCAAUUCUCAAAACAUUUCAUGUCAUGCACUUUAAGAUGUUUUCAAACAAUUUACAUCAAAUGAACAUUUAAAAUAAAUUCACAUCAAGAGAGGAAAUUUCAUAUUGUUCAUGCUCUCAAGUUAACAUCUUUUCGGAACACAUGCAUAUACAUAUAUCAUAUAGCAAAUCACUUUGGGAGUAGUCCUAAAGGCCAAAUAAAUAUCAUAAAAUGUUUAAAACAUAAUCAUAUUCGUAAUUUCAAAACCUGUAAUACCCCGAGAAAUUUUUUGUUGAAAUUUUGUGCGUAAACGUGUUGGUUUCUAUCUUCUAGAAUGAAUCAUAAAUUUUCGUGUGGAAUGUCUUAGAUUAUGACCCACCAUUGUGUAGAGUAUCUAAUAAGAUUUCCAAUGAUAUGGGGAUCAUCCAAAACGGACACUCGAGCGAUGAGUUAUGAGCAUUUCGAUCGAACCAUGAAUAGUAGGGAACAAUAAAACGUGCAGGAAAAAGUACUGAGGCCUGACAUAUUUUUGCUCCAACUUUAAAAUAUCAUAACUCCUUGUACAUAAUGAUCUGAGUGAUCCUCUAUAUAUCAACGAAAAUCUCUGCGAGUCCUCUUUUCAAUGAAAUUGGUUUCAUCCAAUUUGUCUAUCGGAGCAAAAAGUUAUGGUUGAUCUACUUCAGCCUAUCAAAAUCAAAGUUUUGGGUCAACUUCAAACGAUCAUAACUUCUCGUACAAAAUGAUCAGGGUGAGAUACUAUAUAUCAACGGAAAUAUAUGAGAGUCUUCUUUCUAAUGUAAUUGGUUUCAUCUAAUUUGGAUAUCGGAGUAAAAUGUUAUGGUUGAUCUACUUCAGACUAUCAAAAUAGUCCACCAAAGCACAGAUUCGAGAAUUAUUUGAUUUUUAGGGGUAUUUUGGUCAUUCUCCCUCACCCAAAAUCCAUCCAAACCCUAUAUUAAAGCCUAUUAGAAGCAUUAUAUGUUAUAUUUCAUCAAAUUCCCUCAAAAAGAAAACUCUAAGCUCCAACAUCCAACUUUAAGAAACUCCAAAGUUCACCAUUAAUUCUGCAAAUUUAUUCAAGAUUCCAAGUUCCUAGUUCAAGAACUCCAAGAACCAUCAUUCAAAGGUAUGAUUAACAUCUCGAAAAUGAGUAUCGAUCUAAAGUUCAUCAUUCAAGGUAUAUGGGGUUUUUCAACAAGAACUCUCUUUUGUUCUUGUUCCCAAAAGUAAUUUUUUUUACAAAGGCAUGAUUUUUAUUUGAUUUUUAUGAAUUUGAAGCAUGAACCUAUAUUUUAUGAUGAUUAUUAUGAAAUAUUGAUGUUUAUGAUUUUGAAAGAUGAAUUUACAUGUGUGGAGAUAUAAAGCAUGAAUCUUGAACGAUAUUUAUCAUGAUUUUGAUAUUUGGAUCGUGAAUCCCCAUUGAAAAUUGUGUUUUUUUGAGAAAGUGUGUGUUAUAAGCACGUUAAUUCGAGUGUGAAAGAAAUCCACAACGUGGUUGAUUUUGAUAGAUGGGAAGCAUGAUGGCUCCCGAUGUAUAUUUUAUAUUACUGAAAUUGUUUUAUUGUGAUUGUCUUUAAAAUGAUCUGAGCUAAGUCUGGGAGAAAUAUUUCGCAUCGAGUGGGAGGUAUAAAGUGACUUUACUUUCCUAGAACUACAUGACCCCGUAGGAGUGAGCUUGAGGCUGAUUUAUAUAGUGAUCACUAGUUUGUGUGGAUUUGAUAUCUAUAGUCCUACUCCGAUGGCAAGGAUAGGAUGACUCUCCCCAACGUGGGUUGUACAUAACUCACAUGGUUUAUGUCGGUUAUAGGAUCUCCCAGUGUGUGCAUAUUUCCUUGUGUCUAUGGUGAAUGGUAAAGUGAUUUGAAAGUGGAAUUGUGAAAGUUAUUCUUUCAAAAGAUUUAAAUGAUAUUUACAUUAUGAGAAUUGAUAUUCUUGAUGAAUUGAAAGUGAUUGACAAAUUAUAUGAUGACUCACAUGUGUUAUUGUACUUAUUUCAUCCUCUCAUGAUUAUGAUGAUUUUCUUCGGGCUAUGUGAGUCUUUCAUACAUCCUGCAUAUUUCUUAUAAAUAUUUAUGAUGAUGAUGUUUAUACAACUGCAUACACCCCCAUAUACUCAGUUCCUUUCCAUGGUACUGACCCAUAUCUUCGGANNNNNNNNNNNNNNNNNNNNNNNNNNNNNNNNNNNNNNNNNNNNNNNNNNNNNNNNNNNNNNNNNNNNNNNNNNNNNNNNNNNNNNNNNNNNNNNNNNNNNNNNNNNNNNNNNNNNNNNNNNNNNNNNNNNNNNNNNNNNNNNNNNNNNNNNNNNNNNNNNNNNNNNNNNNNNNNNNNNNNNNNNCUCGUUUUAUUGAUUUUCUUAGAGGCUUGUCAGACUAGUAUAGAUGUUGGGAGUUGACUAAUAAGUCGUAUUUUAUUAUCUUUCUGAAAUUCUUUUAUUCUUAGAUGAUGAUUACUCUAUUGAUAUUUGAGGGUUAUUUAUGGAAACCCCGUUGAUUCAUGUUGAACUGAAUGAAAAUGGCUCAAAGGGUUAGCUUAGGGCUACUCGUAGCCUCAAGCACCGUGUGACGCUCUAGAACUCAUUUUCAGAACGUUACAAACUUGGUAUCAGAGCCUAAGGUUUUAAGAUAUCCUAGGGUGUCUGACAAGCCAUGUUAAGUAUAGUCUUGAUCAUUGGUGUGUAGCGCGCUACAUCUAUGAGAAAGAGGUUACAAGACGUUUUAGGAUAAAGUGUGAUUCUUUCUUUCAGAAGUCUAUCGUGCUUAGAGAUCACAAGUUGUUUGCCAAGUUUAGUAAGUGUGAGUUUUGGCUAAGGUUAGUUGCUUUUUUAGGUCAUAUCAUUUCUUUCGAGGGUAUUAGAGUUGAUCUCCAAAAGACCGAAGUUGUUAGAAAUUGGCCUAGACCUAUUUCUUCGACUGAUAUAUGAAGUUUCUUGGGUUUAGCUGGCUAUUACUGCCAUUUUGUUGAUGGUUUCUCCUCUAUAGCAUCUCCUAUGACUCGAUUGACCUAAAAGAAAGUGAAGUUCUUGUGGUCCGAAUAUUGUGAGAAGAGUUUUCAGGAGUUGAAGAUUCGACUCACUUCAGCCUCUGUUUUGACUUUGUUUGAUGGUGUUGAUGGUUUUGUGGUGUACUGUGAUGCUUCGAGAGUUGGGUUGGGUUGCGGGUUGAUGCAGAAGGGUAAGGUGAUAACUUAUGCUUCUAGACAGUUGAAACCCCAUGAGAAAAAUUACCCCACCCAUGACCUUGAGUUGGCUGCUGUUGUGUUUCCUUUGAAAAUAUGGAGACACUAUUUGUAUGGUGUCUGUGUUGAUGUUUUCACUGAUCAUAAGAGUCUGCAGUAUGUGUUUACCCAGAGAGAAUUGAAUCUUAGGCAGAGACGAUGGUUAGAAUUGUUAAAGGACUAUGAUAUGAGUGUGAUGUACCAUCCGGGCAAGGCCAAUGUUGUGGCGGAUGCCCUAAGUAGAGUGUCCAUGGGUAGUGUUUCACAUAUAGUAGAAGGUAACAAAAAGUUGGCUCGUGAUGUAUAUCGUUUGGCUAGAUUGGGGGUUAGGUUGUUUGACUCUGCUGAAGGUAGUAUAGGGGUUCAAAGUAGUUUUGAAUCCUCCUUGGUUUCAGAAGUAAAGGAAAAAACAUACUUAGAUACUAGUUUGGUCAGACUGAAUUAGUCAGUCAAGGACCAAAAAGUAGAGGUUUUCUCCCAAGGGGGAGAUGGUGUGUUAAGAUUACAGGGUAUAUUGUGUGUCCCAAAUGUUGAUGAUUUGAGAUAGAGGAUUAUGGCUGAAGCACACGGGGCGCGAUAUUCUAUUCAUCCUGGUGCCACCAAGAUGUACCGAGACUUACAGGAAAUCUAUUGGUGGAGUAGCAUGAAGAAAGAUAUAGCAGCAUUUAUAGCUAAGUGUGCAACAUGCCAACAGGUUAAGGUUGAACACCAAAGACCUGGUGGUAUGAUGCAAGAGUUUAGUAUUCCCACCUGGAAGUGGGAAGAGAUAAAUAUGGACUUCGUGAUUGGUUUACCUCUUUCUUGAUGCCAUCAUGAUUCUAUUUGGUUUGUGGUUGAUAAGUUGACUAAGUCUGCUCAUUUCUUUCCUGUUCAUACUUCAUAUACUGGUGAGGAUUACGCUAGAUUGUAUAUCCAAGAGCUAGUCAGACUGCAUAGAGUUUCCUUGUCUAUCAUUUUNNNNNNNNNNNNNNNNNNNNNNNNNNNNNNNNNNNNNNNNNNNNNNNNNNNNNNNNNNNNNNNNNNNNNNNNNNNNNNNNNNNNNNNNNNNNNNNNNNNNNNNNNNNNNNNNNNNNNNNNNNNNNNNNNNNNNNNNNNNNNNNNNNNNNNNNNNNNNNNNNNNNNNNNNNNNNNNNNNNNNNNNNNNNNNNNNNNNNNNNNNNNNNNACCAUCCAGACCUUAGAGGAUAUGUUGAGAGCUUGUGCACUUGACUUUAAGGGAAGUUGGGAUGAUCACUUACUGUUGAUAGAGUUUGCUUACAAUAAUAGUUUCCACUCUAGUAUUGGCAUGACUCCAUUUGAAGCCUUAUAUGGGAGGAAGUGUGCAUCACCCAUAGGUUGGUUUGAGGUGGGUGAAGCGGCUGUAAGUGGUCCUGAUUCGGUAUUUGAGGCUAUGGAAAAAGUUAAGUUUAUUAGAGAAAGGUUGAAAACUGCGCAGAGUCAUCAGAAGUCAUUUGUGGAUGUUAGAAGGAGAGACCUUGAGUUUGAAGUUGGUGACCUAGUGUAUCUGAAAAUUUCACCCAUGGGGGGAUGAAGAGAUUCGGAAAGAAGGGGAAGCUUAGUCCCCGUUAUGUUGGUCCUUACAAAAUUCUUAGCCGUGUUAGUAAGGUAGCUUNNNNNNNNNNNNNNNNNNNNNNNNNNNNNNNNNNNNNNNNNNNNNNNNNNNNNNNNNNNNNNNNNNNNNNNNNNNNNNNNNNNNNNNNNNNNNNNNNNNNNNNNNNNNNNNNNNNNNNNNNNNNNNNNNNNNNNNNNNNNNNNNNNNNNNNNNNNNNNNNNNNNNNNNNNNNNNNNNNNNNNNNNNNNNNNNNNNNNNNNNNNNNNNNNNNNNNNNNNNNNNNNNNNNNNNNNNNNNNNNNNNNNNNNNNNNNNNNNNNNNNNNNNNNNNNNNNNNNNNNNNNNNNNNNNNNNNNNNNNNNNNNNNNNNNNNNNNNNNNNNNNNNNNNNNNNNNNNNNNNNNNNNNNNNNNNNNNNNNNNNNNNNNNNNNNNNNNNNNNNNNNNNNNNNNNNNNNNNNNNNNNNNNNNNNNNNNNNNNNNNNNNNNNNNNNNNNNNNNNNNNNNNNNNNNNNNNNNNNNNNNNNNNNNNNNNNNNNNNNNNNNNNNNNNNNNNNNNNNNNNNNNNNNNNNNNNNNNNNNNNNNNNNNNNNNNNNNNNNNNNNNNNNNNNNNNNNNNNNNNNNNNNNNNNNNNNNNNNNNNNNNNNNNNNNNNNNNNNNNNNNNNNNNNNNNNNNNNNNNNNNNNNNNNNNNNNNNNNNNNNNNNNNNNNNNNNNNNNNNNNNNNNNNNNNNNNNNNNNNNNNNNNNNNNNNNNNNNNNNNNNNNNNNNNNNNNNNNNNNNNNNNNNNNNNNNNNNNNNNNNNNNNNNNNNNNNNNNNNNNNNNNNNNNNNNNNNNNNNNNNNNNNNNNNNNNNNNNNNNNNNNNNNNNNNNNNNNNNNNNNNNNNNNNNNNNNNNNNNNNNNNNNNNNNNNNNNNNNNNNNNNNNNNNNNNNNNNNNNNNNNNNNNNNNNNNNNNNNNNNNNNNNNNNNNNNNNNNNNNNNNNNNNNNNNNNNNNNNNNNNNNNNNNNNNNNNNNNNNNNNNNNNNNNNNNNNNNNNNNNNNNNNNNNNNNNNNNNNNNNNNNNNNNNNNNNNNNNNNNNNNNNNNNNNNNNNNNNNNNNNNNNNNNNNNNNNNNNNNNNNNNNNNNNNNNNNNNNNNNNNNNNNNNNNNNNNNNNNNNNNNNNNNNNNNNNNNNNNNNNNNNNNNNNNNNNNNNNNNNNNNNNNNNNNNNNNNNNNNNNNNNNNNNNNNNNNNNNNNNNNNNNNNNNNNNNNNNNNNNNNNNNNNNNNNNNNNNNNNNNNNNNNNNNNNNNNNNNNNNNNNNNNNNNNNNNNNNNNNNNNNNNNNNNNNNNNNNNNNNNNNNNNNNNNNNNNNNNNNNNNNNNNNNNNNNNNNNNNNNNNNNNNNNNNNNNNNNNNNNNNNNNNNNNNNNNNNNNNNNNNNNNNNNNNNNNNNNNNNNNNNNNNNNNNNNNNNNNNNNNNNNNNNNNNNNNNNNNNNNNNNNNNNNNNNNNNNNNNNNNNNNNNNNNNNNNNNNNNNNNNNNNNNNNNNNNNNNNNNNNNNNNNNNNNNNNNNNNNNNNNNNNNNNNNNNNNNNNNNNNNNNNNNNNNNNNNNNNNNNNNNNNNNNNNNNNNNNNNNNNNNNNNNNNNNNNNNNNNNNNNNNNNNNNNNNNNNNNNNNNNNNNNNNNNNNNNNNNNNNNNNNNNNNNNNNNNNNNNNNNNNNNNNNNNNNNNNNNNNNNNNNNNNNNNNNNNNNNNNNNNNNNNNNNNNNNNNNNNNNNNNNNNNNNNNNNNNNNNNNNNNNNNNNNNNNNNNNNNNNNNNNNNNNNNNNNNNNNNNNNNNNNNNNNNNNNNNNNNNNNNNNNNNNNNNNNNNNNNNNNNNNNNNNNNNNNNNNNNNNNNNNNNNNNNNNNNNNNNNNNNNNNNNNNNNNNNNNNNNNNNNNNNNNNNNNNNNNNNNNNNNNNNNNNNNNNNNNNNNNNNNNNNNNNNNNNNNNNNNNNNNNNNNNNNNNNNNNNNNNNNNNNNNNNNNNNNNNNNNNNNNNNNNNNNNNNNNNNNNNNNNNNNNNNNNNNNNNNNNNNNNNNNNNNNNNNNNNNNNNNNNNNNNNNNNNNNNNNNNNNNNNNNNNNNNNNNNNNNNNNNNNNNNNNNNNNNNNNNNNNNNNNNNNNNNNNNNNNNNNNNNNNNNNNNNNNNNNNNNNNNNNNNNNNNNNNNNNNNNNNNNNNNNNNNNNNNNNNNNNNNNNNNNNNNNNNNNNNNNNNNNNNNNNNNNNNNNNNNNNNNNNNNNNNNNNNNNNNNNNNNNNNNNNNNNNNNNNNNNNNNNNNNNNNNNNNNNNNNNNNNNNNAUAUUCUUGAUGAACUGAAAGUGAUUGACAAAUUAUAUGAUGACUCACAUGUGUUAUUGUACUUAUUUCAUCCUCUCAUAAUUAUGAUGAUUUUCUUCGGGCUAUGUGAAUCUUUCAUACAUCCUGCAUAUUUUUUAUAAAUAUUUAUGAUGAUGAUGUUUAUAAAACUGCAUACACCCCCAUAUACUCGGUUCCUUUCCAUGGUACUAACCCACAUCUUCGGAUGUGGGCUGCAUUUUCUCAGAAUGUAGGUUCAGGUGCUCAGUUCCAGGUUCAACAGUGAUUCUUCGGGCACGCUGUUCUACAUCCUUUGUCAUGGUGAGUCCUCAUGUUCCGAGGACGUGAUUUCUGAUGUUGGUUUCACGGAAUUGUUUACAGUUGAUAACUGAGUAUGAGUCAUUUGGGGCAUGUCUCAAUGACUCGCUGGUUUUAUUGAUUUUCUUAGAGGCUUGUCAGACUAGUAUAGAUAUUGGUAGUUGACUAAUAAGUCGUAUUUUGUUAUCUUUCUGAAAUUUUGUUAUUAUUGAAUGAUGAUUACUAUGUUGUUAUUUGAGGGUUAUUUAUGGAAACCCUGUUGAUUCGCGUUGAACUGAAUGAAAAUGGCUCAAAGGGUUAGCUUGGGGCUACUCGUAGCCUCAAGCACUGUGUGACGCUCCGAAACCCAUUUUCAGGGCGUUACAAAAUCCCCAUUUGAAAACAUGAAUUUUUAAAGCCCAUGAUAUUUUUGAGAUAGCCCCACGUACCUCUAUAUGCGGAAAUUAUAGGUGCUUCUUGAAGCCUACGUUCUGGGGAUUCAAAUUAUGCGAUUAGUUUCUAAAACCCCCGGUUGAAUCUUGAGUUGCUUGAGUUUUUAUUUUGAAACCCUAAGGAGAAUCCUUGAGCACUUUUGAUGAAUGAAGGUGUAUUUUGGGGUCUUUGGAACUUAAUUUCGUGUUUAGGGCUAAGUAAGGGUGGAAAAGGACUAUUUUGCCCCAAAAAAGAGUGUUUAAGCCACUCGAAACCUUUACAUAGGUGCCGCCUAUGCCAAGCAUAGGCGCCGCCUAUGUUUGCAUAGGCGCCGCCUAUGCCAUCGCCUAUGUUUGCAUAGGUGCCUCCUAGGCUAUCGCCUAUGCUUUCCAGUGGCCAUGUGCGAUUGGUUAGGCGACGCAUAUUACUUUGAAAGGCCAUAACUUCUUGCUCGGGUGUCAGACUUUAGCAAAAUUGGUAUCGUUGGAAAGCUAACUCGAAGACGUAUCAUUUCACAUAUAGUAGGCUCUCUAAUUAGAUAUAUACAAAGAGUUAUAGUCGAUGGAAGCUGACAUAAAUUACAACAUCCACUAAAACUUAAUCGAUCGAAAUAGUUUCAACUCAUCCUUGAUUUGAAGGACCUCUAUGGUCUAAAUUCAAGCUUGAAUGGAUUCACAUGCUACACAAAUAAUUAACAUGCCGUAUUGGCAUAGGAUUUAUGGUUUUGGGAUUUAUCAACACAUCGGAGUCAUGGUCUAUAUUGUAGCCCGAAAUGCGGGGCGUUACAUUAUCCCCCCUUAGGAUCAUUCAUCCCCGAAUGAUGAUGCGGGACACAGACAUACACGAUUUGAAGCAUAAUAAAGGACUAGGAAAGAUAAGAUAGGAAUAGUACCUUCUGUCUCAUCCUCCAUCAAAGCAAACAAAUUGUGAUAUCUAAUUCUCAUGUCAUCUUCUGACUCUCAAGUUGCUUCUUCGACUUUUUGAUUCCUCCACAGUACCUUUACUGAGGCUAUCUCUUUACUCCUCAGCUUUCGAACUUGGCAAUCCAAAAUUUCAACGGGCUCUUCUUCGUAAGACAAGGAAUCUGUCACUUUGACAUCCUCUACUGGAAAUACCAAAAAUGAUCUCCAAUGCAUUUCUUCAACAUGGAUACAUGGAAUACCGGAUGUACGGAACCCAAACUUGCAGGAAAUUAUAGCUCAUAAGCAACUGUACCAAUCUUUCUCAGAAUCUGAUAUGUCCCUAUGUAGCGAGGGCUCAAUUUACCUCUUUUUCCAAACCACAUAACUCCUUUCAUAGGAGAAACCUUGAGAAACACCCAAUCACCAACCUCAAACUCUAGUUCUCUUCUCCUAACAUCGGCAUAGGACUUCUGAUGACUAUGAGCAUUCUUGAGUCAUUCUCUAAUGAUCUUCACUUUAUCCAUCGCCUGAUGAACAAGAUCAGUCCCAUAUAACUUGGUCUCUCCCACUUCAUACCAUCCUAUCAGAGACCUACAUUUCCUCCCAUACAAAGCCUUAAAAGGAGCCAUCUUGAUGCUGGCAUGGUAACUAUUAUUGUAAGCAAAUUUAACUAGUGGCAGGUGAUCUACCCAACUACCUUUAAAAUCAAUAACGCAUGCCCUUAACAUAUCCUCGAGGGUCUGAAUGGUACGCUCAGCUUGCCCAUCCAUUUGAGGGUGGAAAGCUGUGCUCAAAUUCACUUGUGUACCUAAACCCUUCUAAAAAGAUCUCCAGAACUGAGACAAAAACUGCGUACCUCUAUCGGAUAUAAUGGACACUGGUGCCCCAUGGAACCGAACUAUCUCCUCAAUGUAAAUCUUAGCAUAACCCUCUCCCGAAUAAUUAGUCCUCACAGGCAAAAAGUGGGCUGAAUUUGUCAACCGAUCUACAAUCACCCAUGUAGAAUCAUACUGGUUUCGGAAUCUCAGAAGUCCUAUAAUGAAGUCUAUGUUUAUCAUCUCCCACUUCUAUAAAGGCAGGGCUAUCUCUUGGGAAGUAACACCUGGCCUCAUGUGUUCUACCUUCACUUGUUGACAGUUCAAACACUUGGACACAAAAUCAGCUAUAUCACGUGUCAUGUUAUUCCACCAAUACAAGCUUUUCAGAUCGUGGUACAUCUUAGUAGAUCCUGGGUGAACGAUAUACCUUGAAGUAUGUGCCUCAUUAAGGAUUCUUUCCUGCAACCCAUCAACAUUCAGAACACACAACCCCUGGAAUCUCAGAAUACCAUCAUCACCAAUUUCAAAUGACAUAACCUUUUGUUGACCCACAUCUUUCUUGAUUUGUAUCAAGAUGGGAUCUUCAACCUGCUUCUCCUUAAUUUCAGCACAAAGGGAUGACUUAGCUAACUCAUGAACAAUCACCCCUCNNNNNNNNNNNNNNNNNNNNNNNNNNNNNNNNNNNNNNNNNNNNNNNNNNNNNNNNNNNNNNNNNNNNNNNNNNNNNNNNNNNNNNNNNNNNNNNNNNNNNNNNNNNNNNNNNNNNNNNNNNNNNNNNNNNNNNNNNNNNNNNNNNNNNNNNNNNNNNNNNNNNNNNNNNNNNNNNNNNNNNNNNNNNNNNNNNNNNNNNNNNNNNNNNNNNNNNNNNNNNNNNNNNNNNNNNNNNNNNNNNNNNNNNNNNNNNNNNNNNNNNNNNNNNNNNNNNNNNNNNNNNNNNNNNCAUCACAAUAAACCACAAAAUCAUCUACACCCUCGGGAAGGGUAAAAAUAGGAGAAGUAGUCAGCUUGUCCUUCAACUUCUCAAAACUGUAUUCACACAAGUCAGACCACACAAACUUCAUCUUUUUCUGAGUCAGUUUAGUAAGCGGAGCAACUAUGGAAGAAAAACUCUCUGCGAACUUUCUGUAAUAGCCCGCCAAACCCAAGAAGCUCCAAAUAUCGGUUGGAGUCGUGGGUCUAGGCCAUUUUCUCACUGCUUCAACUUUAUGGGGAUCCACUCUUAUCCCGUCACUGGACACAAUAUUCCCUAAGAAGGCAAUAGCAUCUAACCAUAAUUCACACUUAGAAAAUUUGGCUUACAGCUGAUGAUCCUUAAGGGUCUGAAGAAUAAUUCGGAGGUGAUUGGCGUGAUCCUCUUUACUCUUAGAAUAGAUCAGAAUAUCAUCAAUAAAUACAAUGAUGAACAAGUCAAGAAACUGAAGAAACACUCUAUUCAUAAGAUCCAUGAAGGCUGCACGGGAGUUAGUCAACCCGAAGGACAUGACUAGAAAUUUGUAGUGACCAUAUCGGGUUCGGAAGGCUGUCUUGAGUAUAUCUGACUCCCUAACUUUCAACUGAUGAUAACCCGAACGAAGGUCUAUUUUUGAAAAACACUUAGCUUCCUGAAGCUGGUAAAAAAGAUCAUCAAUCCUAGGAAGAGGAUACUUGUUUUUAAUCGUGACCUUAUUCAGCUGACGAUAGUCUUUGCACAUACGAAGGGAACCAUCUUUCUUUCGCACGAAAAGUACAGGUUCUCCCCAAGGGGACACACUGGGCGAAUAAAACCCUUAUCUAGAAGGUCUACCAUCUGCUCUUUUAACUCUUUCAGUUCCGCGGGAGCCAUUCUAUAUGGCGGAAUAGAAAUAGGAUGGGUUUCUGGCAACACAUCAAUGCCAAAAUCUAUUUCCCUAUCAGGUGGUAUCCUUGGGAGAUCUUCGGGAAAGACUUCUGGAAACUCAUUCACUAUAGGGACUGACUGAAAAGGAAGAUUUUCAACUCUUGAAUCUUUUACUCGGAUUAGAUGGUACAUACAACCUUUGGAGAUAAGCUUUCGGGCUCUAAGAUAAGAGAUAAAGUCACCUCUAGGUUCCACAGAACUCCCUGCCCAUACAAUUGGUGUCUCAUUUGGAAAAUAAAAAGUCACCUUUUGGGUUCUGCAAUCAAGGGUGGCAUAACACGAAUGGAGCCAGUCCAUCCCAAGGAUGGCAUCAAAAUCUACCAUAUCAAGAUCUAUAAGGUCGGCCAUAAUAUCCCUACUAAGAAUAGACACAACACAAUUUUUAUAAACCCUUCUAGCAAUAAUAGAAUCACCUACAGGAGUGGAAAUAAUAAAGGGUUGUUUAGUGACUUCGGGCUCGAACCCAAAACCAACAGCCACAUAGGGGGUCACAUAAGAUAAAGUAGACCCGGGAUCAAGCAAUACAUAAACAUCAUGAGAAAAAAUUUGUAAUGUACCGGUGACAAUAUCUGGUGAAGCUUCCACCUCCUGGCGAUUAGUCAAAGAAUAUAACCGAUUGCGAUCACUCUCGGUAGCUGAAGGGGCACCCUUAGGAGGAAAAGCCAUGGGGGCAGCUUGGGGCGGGCUAGUUUACUAGUCAACUCUGGUGCAUAGCGGGGUAGUUUAUUAAACUUCAAAGUGUACUCCUGGACACUCAUACUGCCCUGCUUCAGAUUCAUAAAUUCUUCCUCUUUGGCCUCCCUUAACUCCAAAGAAAAGAAUCGUUCAAGAAAAGCUUCCUCAAACUCGCCCCAAACUGUGGGCUCAGUACUCUCACCUUUCGCAUCCUCCCAGCCGGCAUACCACUGAUUCGCAAAUCUUUGAGCUGAUAAGUUGCUAGUUCCACCCCUUCAACCUCAUCCAUAUGCAUUACCUUAAAGAUUUUUUCCAUCUCAUCCACAAACUCUUGUGGAUCUUCCUCUACCUUGGUGCUAGUGAACUUAGGUGGGUUCAUCUUCAUGAAAUGUUCGACCCUGGUAGCCUCAAACAUAACAGAUAUAGACCCAACAUCUUCUGAUCAUUGAUCCUAGUUAGCUACCAACUGUGUCAGCAUAUGAAUAGACCUUCUGAAUUCCGCAUUUGAAAUAUCCCCCUGACCAGUUGGGGGAUGGUUGACAUUAGUCCGUGGAACCUGAGGUGGACUGGUUGGGACUGGAGAGAAUCCCAAAGUAGAGACAAGUUCUGGAGUGAGAGCUCUAUUACGGGUCCGCAUCCCAUGAAUGGGACGGACCUCGUCUGCCUGAGCAUUCUGAUCGACGAUACGACGUGGAGGCAUAACUGUGUUUCUGAAAUACAAGUGAUCAUAAAUUAGGGGACAGUUUAGACUCUGAAACACGAACUAAAUCACAAAGAAGGGAAACAUUUCCUAAACGCCUAACAAUCUCCUUCUUAUAAGUAUGGCGCGCUACACACCCAUAAAAAAGACUCUACCAGACGCGAUUUUGCAGACACCCUGGGGCCAUGAAUCGUGCUCUGAUAACAAGUUUGUCACCACCCAAACCGAGGCCCUGGCCGUGACAAAUAUUUCGAACCAUCAAGGCCCGAAACACCCCUUAUCUAUCUGGUAAUCAUGCACAUGAAUUAUAUGAAAAUAAAUGUGGAAGAUACACUAUAUAACGGAAACAUGGUCAAGAAUUAUAUGAAAACAAUAAUGGGGAAUAAUGUCCCACAAUCUCAAUCAACAUCUCUAUAACGUCUGCGAAAUCUCUACUACAUGACUAAAAUAAAUGUCUAGCUAAAAACUGGGACAAGGCCCUCAGUAGACCCAAAACUAAUAAAUGAUAAAUUAAACUGCAGACAUCAGGCCUUCUAAAAUAUAGAAGGCUCACCACUUGAUUCUACAAUCUGUUGGAAGGAAUCUAUUGGUUGUCUGGACCCCUAGACUGUGCCUCCAAACCUGGGAGGAGAGGGGGUCAACACAAAAGUACUGGUACGCAGAGAACUCAAAAUAGAAAUAUAAUAUUUUUACACAAUAUAGGUGAGAGCCAUUAUAAAGAAGUUUCAUAUCAAAUUAUUUGAAAACACAUGGGCAUAAUGUAAUAGUUUUCAAUACCAAUGUAAUGCGAUUGAGCUAGGUGGAAUACCCUACAAUUGUAAUUCCACAGCUAUGUGGAAUCUCUGGUGCUCGACGGUCAAGUCUCCAGUCCAAGUAGCCGCCAGGAUUUGGAGCCGGUAUACCCCCCAUGUGAGUACACCGUAGAGAAUCCCCCCAUGUGAGAUGUCCUAAUUAUUUUAGUAUCCUCCCAUGUAGGAUACUAUAUCAUACGACUCGCAUCGGCAACUACAGUUUUCAGCGAUGAGCCCUUCUACUCAACCGCCUUCUUCCGGCAUCCACCUUUCUCAUGAAAAUCAAUGCAUUCAAACUUUGUUCAAAUCAAUCACAUGUCAUACUCUGUAGGGUAUCGUCAUACCCGACUUGCAAGCCAUCAAUAUCACAUCAUUCUUCUCAUUCAACCAUUGUAUUCAACAUGACUAUUCUUCUCGUUUACAAGUCAAAAUUAUAUCAAUUCUCAAAACAUUUCAUGUCAUGCUCUUCAAGAUCUCUCAAGUUAACAUCUUUUCAGAACACAUGCAUAUAUAUAUAUAUAUAUAUCAUAUAGCAAAUUACUUUGGGAGUAGGCCUAAGGGCCAAAUCAAUAUCAUAAAACGUUUAAACAUAAUCAUAUUCAUAAUUUCAAAACCCCCAUAUGAAAACAUGAAUUUUUAAAGCCCAUGAGAUUUUUGAGAUAACCCCCCACGUACCUCUAUAUGCGCAAAUUAUAGGUGCUUCUUGAAGCCUAUGUUCUGGGGAUUUCAAUUAUGUGAUUAGUUUCUAAAACCUCCGGUUGAAUCUUGAGUUGCUUGGGUUUUUAUUUUGAAACCCUAAGGAGAAUCCUUGAGCACUUUGAUGAAUGAAGGUGUAUUUUGGGGUCUCUGGAACUGAAUUUCGUGUUUAGGGCUAAGUAAGGGUGGAAAAGGACCAUUUUGCCCCAAAAACAGAGUGUUUAAGCCACUUGAAACCUUUACAUAGGCGCCGCCUCUGCCAUCGCCUAUGUUUACAUAGGCUCCACCUAGGCUAUUGCCUAUGUUUGCAUAGGCUCCGCCUAUGAUUUCCAGUGGCCAUGUGCAUUUAGUUAGGCGAUGCAUGUUACUUUGAAAGGCCAUAACUUCUUGAUCGGGUGUCGGACUUUAGCAAAAUUGGUAUCGUUGGAAAGCUAACUCGAAGGACUAUCAUUUGACACAUAGUAGGCUCUCUAAUUCGACACAUAUAGAGAGUUAUAGUCGAUGGAAGCCAAUACAAAUUACAAUAUCCACUAAAACUUAAUCGAUCGAAAUAGUUUCAACUCAUCCUUGAGUUGAAGGACCUCUAUGGUCUAAAUUCAAGCUUGAAUGGAUUCACAUACUACACAAAUAAUUAACAUGCCAUAGUGGCAUAGGAUUUAUAGAUUUGGGAUUUAUCAACACAUCGGAAUCAUGGUCAAUAUUGUAGCCCGAAAUGCGGGGCGUUACACGUUUGUUCAUUUUGUAGGUACAUUUGCAAAUGGAACCACCACGCAUGGAACCUGAAACUUUCAACGCACAUACCGUGAAUCAUAAUGUUAUGACUUCCUUUGUAUCUAGUCUUGAGUCCUUAUCUCAAGAGGUGGUUAGAGUGAAUGUUACGAUUGAGAAGUUGGGUAUGGAAGUGGCCUCUAUUAGUGGCCAGGUGGAAAGGGUAGAAAGCCAAUGGAGUUCUCGACCCUCAAAUCCUCAAAACACAUCCCUAACCAUUAACCUCGAAGCCAUGCACCAAAGAAUGUAUCCAACAAAUGCCAUACCUCAAGCCAACUAUUACUCACAAGACUGAGGCCUUGAUGGACCUAGCCAUUCCCCACAUCACCAAGUCCCACAUGAAGGACUUGGAACCCAAAUUCCACCCUUAAAUCCAAAUCCUCCAAACUAAAAUACUCCAAUCCAAAGAACUCCACCACUAAAUGUCAAUCCACCAUACCAAAUUCCAAAUGUCUAAAACCCGCCAAUGCAGGAAGAGGGAUUUGUGAGGAAUAACCGAUGGAGAGGGUAUGGAAUGUAUGAUGAUCCUUAUCUGAUAGAGGAUGGAGUAAGGGGUAGAAGGGUAGAACCAUGGGAAAACUGAGAGCUUGAUGGUAGGGGUGUCCAAGGUGUUCAGGAAAGGGAUGUUGGUCUUAACACUAUCAAAAUAGGAAUUCCAAUCUUUAGGGGAGAAAGUGAUCCCGAAGAGUUUCUCACAUGGGAAUCCGCAUGAGAGAGAGUCUUUCAAGUGAAUGAUCUCAUAGAGGAGAAGAAUAGUUGCUACACCAUUGCUCAUUAUGAGGGAUAUGCUACCAUGUGGUGGAAGUAUGUCAAACAUUUUUGAAACGUAUUGAUUGAGGGGCGAUCCCCUCCUUGGUUCCGGUUAAGGUAUAUUAUGAGGCAAAAGUACCAUUCUGAAAGCUAUCAACAAUGAACUCCUUGCAAAAUUGUACAACUUGAAGCAAGGAAUUAAAAGUGUGGUAGCAUUGUCACGAUGUCACGACCCGAACCGAGGUCCUGGCUGUGACGAGCAUUCCAAAUCAUGAAGGCCCGGACGCCCAUCUCUAUCUGGUAGUCAUGAACAAUAUUCAUAUAAAUAAAAAAGAUGCAGAAAUAUAACUUAAUACAGAAUCAUGGUCAUACUUUGAACUCAAUUUAAUGAUAAAGAAUUUAAAAUCCAAUAACUCUAGACAAUAUCUAAACCAGUCUACUAAAUCUCUAUUACAUGCUAGAAUGACCACUGUCUGAAUCUGGGACAAGGCCCCUAGAGGACCCAAAUAAAAAUAAAUAACAUAGUCUAAAAUAAAAAGGCCUUCUGGAAUAGAGAAGACUCACCACUGCACAGUCUCUACUGCUUAGCCGAACCUCUAGAUUGAGUCUCAGACCCUGAAAAGUAGGGGGUCAAUACAAUUGUACUGGUACGUAGAGCAAAUCCAAAAUAGUAAUUUUUAAUCAACAUAUAUGAGAGAAAUUUAAAAUAGUUCAUAAAUAUAUCAUAUGGUAAGAAUCACAUGGGCAUAAUUAAAAGACUCUAUAAAAUCAUCUAAACUCUGUGACACAUCUUUAUUUUGCUUUUACGCUUGGUGGUAUACCCUACAACUCUGAAAUUCCAUGGGCUAUAUAGAAUCCUCCAUUAACUUGGAAGCCAAGCCCCCAACCCAAGUUUACCGCAAGGGUCAGAGUCUCUGUCUCUAAUAUACCACAGGGUCGUCCCCAGCGUAUAAUAAUAAUAUACCUGUAUCGGAAAAAUACGGUUUUAGGCUAAGAGUUACUUGAACUCAAGCCUUCUCUGGGUAACCACCUAACCCUCUUUAAGCCCAUUUUUAACUCUUUAAAACAUUUCAUUCCCUGAAAUCAAACUCUGAAAAACUCUAGCUCUGUUAUGGCAUACAUUUAUAUGGUAUCGUCAUACCAUUAACUUGCAAGUCACAUCUCUGAGCCAUUAAUAGCAUUUUAUAAUCUUUGUUUUUAAAACAUAAGUUUUGGGACCACCAUAUCAAUAAAUCAAUUCAAAGAACUCUUUAUUAAAACUCAUGUAAACACAUGCAAGAAACUCUCUUUUUAACAUUUCAAAUACACAAGGUGGUCAUAUCAAAGUUCUCAAUCACAUGCAAUUCUUUCUCUUUAACACAAGAACGUAAUUAUAUCAAGAAACUAACUCUCAUCAUCUCUAAAUCAUGCCCAAAUACUAUGAUAUUGACAAAACUAUUUUCUAAUCAUGAAUCAUGCAUUUCAAACCAUUCACGAUAAGAUCAUAAACUUAAAUUCAUCACAAGUGAGGGAUUUCAUAAUUUGUGCUCUCAAACAAUCUUCAAAUCCAAAUUUUCAUAUAUAUAUAUAUAUAUAUAUAUAUUCAUAUGUAUAAAUAAACUUUAAGGGAAAAAGACCUAAAGGCCAAAACAACAAUGUCAUUAAAGCAUUCAUGAUGCAUAAUUUAAAACAUUGAUUCCAAAACCCCUUUGAAAUUUCGUGCUUGAUGAUCUUUAAAUCAUAUUCAAGUGUUUCAACAAGCUCAUGUAGUUUUAGGAUAAACCCCACGUACCUUAGGUUGUUUAGGAGAAAGAGUGGAUUCCAAAUUUCACCUUAGUUCUUGAAACUUUUGACUUGCAAGGAUGAGCUAUUGAUCUUAAAAGAAGAGGCUAGGGUUUUCAAUUGAUGUUAAGAGAGUAAUUUUUCAUGAAAACCAACCUAAAGUGCUGAUAAGAUGCUUUAGUCUCGUGUUUUGGGCGUAUUGGGAUAAGGGAAAAUGACUCAAUUGCCCUUAAAAAUGUGGAUUUUAAAAACUAAAUCAACUGGGCUUCGAUGCGAUAGGCGACGCGGUGCAUCGAUGCCAUCAAUGCGAUACUUGACGCGUCGCUCCCUAAUCACGCCAAGCCUCAAUACUUUUUCCUGGUAGUUCCUGAACAAAAUUGACCAACGCGAUGGGUGAUGUGACGCGUCAAGAUCGCGUUGGUCCACUAUUUUGGGACACCAAACAAGGUCUAAGCGCGGCCCAAAAAAAUCUGAAACUUGUUCGAGAUGUACUAUCGACUUACCCCAUCGUGAAUCAACUUAAAAAUUAACUAUUGGAGGUCGAGAGGGUCAUAAAAUGAAUCCUCAAAGAUUUGGAGCUCAAAAUGAGACUAAGUCCUUUUAACACUUACAAAAAUUUUCAAUUUUUCAACUUUAUAAGCAUACUACUAAGAGAUAACACAUGGAGAACUUUUGUGGGGUGUUACAUUAUUCCCCCCUUAGGAUCAUUCAUCCCCGAAUGAUGGGUGGGGACCUUUCGAAGAUCAGAAAGUGUAGAAUAAAGAACGUAAUCUCACAUUGAACAAUUUUCCUCAACAAUACAUACAAUGGAAUCAAAUGAGUUUCUUGAUAACCCCGAGUGAAUCGUGAAAGCACGAAACAUGAGAUAAUGAGACUACAUAGGGAUGAUCUUGCACAUGAGCUCUAUGCACCAUAAUCUUCACAACAUAAGGAAGGAAUUUAUUUGAUGAUCAUAGACCUGAUUUAUAUUGGUACUAACAAUGAAAUAAGAUUUCACGGAAGAUAGGAUUAGAAUCAUUCUCCACCUCUCAUAAUACAACGAAAUAGACCUUACUCGUAGAAACACUACUCAUCUAUGCCCUAAACAACAAAUAACACACUUAAUUAUUUCUAACUUACAAUUCUCUAAUCAUACAUCUAGCCACAAUAAUAUGAGUCCCACUACUUAGUACUUUCUAAAUGAAAUCUUGAGAAAAUACGAUAAAAUAACCACGAGCGCUCCAUAUAUCAAGUGUCUGGAUCAUAAGUAGAGACUCAUUCAGAAGACACAAUACAACAUGAAUUCUUAGGAUAGAGCACAGUGAGAAAUAGUGGUGCACAUAUCAAGGCAAAAUAAGGGAAAGAGACUGAAUUAACCUCCUGGACUCAAAAAAUCAGUAAGAUGAACUGGGCACUCAGCGCGAUUGACGACGCGAUGCAUCAUGAUCGCGUCGAGACACUGGUUUGGCCAAUGCAACUACCGAUGCGGCACGUUAAUAUCGCAUUGAUCCACUGGUUUACUCACUCAAACGCAUCUCAAAUGCAGUCUGAAAAAUCUAAAACUUUCCCGGAUCAACCUCUUUACACUCCUGAACAUGAAUCAACUCUAAAAUCUACUUCUCGGGGUUAGAAAGAUCAAUUUGAAAAUGAUGAAAGUUACAAGCUCAUAAAUAUGACUAAGUCUUUUAACAAUUAGAAAUUUUUUCAGGUUGACAGCUCUCCACAUAUGCAACCAAGAGUGGUAUUGAGUCGAGAAUACUAUAGGGUGUUACAUUACAACUAAGACAAAGAUUUCUGCUUGAAGUGAUUUCUCCUUGCUUAAGGAACUAAGAUUUUUCCAUGAGUUUGCAUAAACCUUAUCACUUUGGCUAAACCUGACUUAGGAUGAAUUGGUGACAUAUAGAAACAUAUUCUCUUAGGACCAAACAUGCUAGGAGACAUAGAUUUUUAUAGAUCACGAACAACAUAACAUAUGGCUUGAAUACAUGAAAGAAUGGAUUACUAAGAGACCUAAUUUGCUUCUAGUUUGGAGAUCAGAUUAUAAACAUAAGUCCAUAGAGUACUCGAACCAUAGGCACAGGCAUGACUUGAAUAAAUGAUGUAAUAAAUUAGCAGAAUAAUCUCAAAAAUGGAAGUAGGAGGAGUAUUCUUGAGUAAGAUUAUAUUUAUCAUGACUCAUCUCCGCAACUUGCCGAAUUGAGAAAAAAAUUUGGGAACUACCUUAAUUCCCCAUCUUCCCCUUAGAUCAAAGUCACAACCCUAGACUUACGGACAUAUCCCCUUAUUAAAUCUACAGCAACAACUCUCAACACAAAAGAGACACCACUGCAUACUUAAACUCUAAACUCUCCCUGAAAAACUGUACUUUGCAGGCCUUACUUUUCUGUAUAUGCUACUCUUAGCUUUCGCUAGCCUCUAUAACCAUUAUUCUAUAACUCCCACUCUUAUGAGCGCACACAUUCACACUCCUUAUCACAAGAGGAAGGUGUUGGUAUCUUCAUGAGCACAAACUUCUCUCAUUAAUCUCUAAUACAAGGACACUAAAUUAUUUUCUAGGACACUAAUCGUAAUUUAUUCUAACGCUCAAAGUCAUCAACUUACGACUAACAUUAUCAUGGGCAUAGAUAAUGAUCCAUCUUUAAUUACUUAUACUAGCAUUACACCUCUAAUUACCCAACUUGUAACUUAACAAAAAUUUGUAAAACUAUGCCAAACGCACAUAUUGCCUACCUACAUUUCCUGAACACAACUUUACUGAACACUAUACAACAACUCCCCAGACUUCUCCGUGCUACAAAGUUCAAAACACAAGUUGGGUACACAUGAUGCUUAUACCAUACAACAUUAUCUAACAACAUGCCAUCUUGGGUUCAACUUAUUCUUAUAUGAAUAUCACUCUUAUCAUCUUAAUGACUCAACCACAAAUCAUCAUUUCUAACACUAGUCCUCAAGUAUAUAUACCACAAUUUAUCCACUCCUUUUUUCACAAUUUGCCAACCUAGGCCAUUCCACAUACCACAUUAAGACUACUAAUUAAUUCCCACAAAACAUGCAUCAUCAACCUCGACCUACUAUUCUCACCACUAUACUCCAUAUCUAGAGUUUAAGUCUGUUGUCUAGCCUCAAUUAUAUAUCACCGAUAAACCAUGCCACAUAUUACACUAAUCCAUCAAAUUAGGAAAUCAACCCCAAUACUUCACUUUACUUAGCUACUACCUACAAUCACAACCCCGCCAUAACCUCAUUAUUACCACUCAAAAUCCACUACAUACCUUCACACCUAAAGUCCUAGUUUACUACUACUAAAGAAAGGACCAUCAAAGAGGUAAAGUCACAUGAUUGAGUUGGUCGAUCUUAAUCUUGCAAUAUAACUCAUUCCAAUCUUAUCAACAUAUUCUAAUUUCUUACAUCAUACUUACCUAAUCGCACAUCACAAUGAUCUUCAAAAAUCAAUAAACACUAAUGAGUCUCUACUUACAACUUAUUAACUAAUCUAUCAUUUCUAUUUACAACCUAUAACUGAUCUCUAUAACCACCAUAACUAUCAACUCUAGGUUCCUUCCCUAAUUUGAAUAGAUAAUAAUCAUAGCUAGACACUUCCUCCACAUACUACCCUACAAUCCACAAAUAUUGCUACCGCAUUAGUCUAUCACUAUACAAUGGAAACCCACUCCUCAGUCUACGAUUAUACAACUAAAACUAUUUAUUUACGCAAAUGUCACCCUCGCUCUGACUGCUAACCUUGUGACUUCAUGUCACCAACUUCUAGACCAUCUCACUACCAAUAGGUCAUGACACUUUAACAUACGCUACCACUCAGGUGGAAAUACAGUCCCAACAUUCUGCUCCACAUAAUUAUCCUUAAACAUCACUCCCCUAACAAGAAUUUUUAUUAAAGGGGACAGAAUACACUUCGUACCUCAGGCUGGAAAGCACAAUUUCAUCAAGAUAAAGGUACACACCUGAAUCAAUACACCUUGAAGCACCACUGGACUCCUCUCAAGUCCUUGUGCUAUCUCAUAACUUUUUUGGAUAACUCAAUCAAAGAGAACCACAUCGUUGGGCUAGACUCUUAGACUUGUAUAGCCUCAAUAAUAAGACAUGACCCAUGAAAUUAGAACGAGGAAUGAACUUGGAUAACUUUCUUAUGGAUGACUCUAUAGCACAAACUAGAGUAUGAAAGAAUGGAAAACAACUCCUAAAUGCCCGAUAGCCUCCUGAUUAUAAGUGUGGUGCACAACACACCCAUAAUCAAGACUCUACUAGACAUGAUUUCACAGACACCCUGGGACAUGAACCAUGCUCUGAUACAAAGUUUGUCAUGAUCCGAACUGAGGUCCUUGCCGUGAUGAGCAAUCCGAAUCAUAAAGGCCCGAACACCCAUCUCUAUCUGGUAAUCAUGCACAAUAUUCAUAUAAAUAAAAAAGAUGUAGAAAUAUAACUUAAUAUGGAAUCAUGGUUAUACACUGAACUCAAUUUCACGAUAAAGAAUUUAAAAUCCAACAACUCUAGACAAUGUCUAAACCAGUUUGCUAAAUCUCUAUUACAUGCUAGAAUGACCACUGUCUGAAUUUGGGACAAGGCCCCCAGUGGACCCAAAUCAAAAUAAAUAACAUAGUCUGAAAUAAACAGGCCUUCUAAAAUAGAGAAGACUCACCACUGCACAAUCUCUUCUCUCUGAAAUCUCUACUGCUUAGCCGGACCUCUAGAUUGAGCCUCAGACCUUGAAAGGUAGGGGGUCAAUACAAUUGUACUAGUACACAGAGCGAAUCCAAAAUAGUAAUUUUUACUCAACAUAUAUGAGAGCAAUUUAAAAUAGUUCAUAAAUAUAUCAUAUGGUAAGAAUCACAUGGGCAUAGUUAAAAGACUCUAUUAAAUCAACUGAACUCUGUAACACAUCUUUAUUUUACUUCUACGCUAGGUGGUAUACCUUACAACUCUGAAAUUCCAUGGGCUAUAUGAAAUCUGCCAUUAACCCGACAGCCAAGCCCCUAACCCAAGUUAGCCACAAGGGUUGGACUCUCUAUCUCUACUACGCCACAGGGCCGUCGCCACCGUACAAUAAUAAUAUACGUGUAUCGGCAAAAUACAUUUUUAGGCUAAGAGUUACUUGAAAUCAAGUCUUCUUCGGGUAACCACCUAAUCCUCUUUAAGCCCAUUUUUAAUUCUUUAAAACAUUUCAUUCUCUGAAAUCAAACUCUGAAAAACUUUAGCUCUGUUAUGGCAUACAUUUAUAUGAUAUCGUCAUACCAUUGACUUGCAAGUCGCAUCUCUUAACCAUUAAUAACGUAUUAUAAUCUCUGUUUUUAAAAUAUAAGUUUUGGAACCACCAUAUCAAUAAAUCAAUUCAAAGAACUCUUUCUUAAACCUCAUGUAAACACAUGCAAGAAACUCUCCUUUUCAACAUUUCAAAUACACAAGGUGGUCAUGUCAAAGUUCUCAAUCACAUGCAAUUCUUUCUCUUUUACACAAGUGUCAUACCCGAUUUUUACCUAAGGUCAAAACAAGCACGACAUUAUGAACUCUAAAAGAAUUGAUUUUAUACAGAGUCGCCACCUAAUUUUUAAGAAAAAUAGGGAACCUACUUAUUUAUUAACAGGUAUGACUUUAUUUUAUUCUAUGAAACCAGUUUGAAUUUUAGUUAAGGGUUCAAAUUAUUAUAAAGGAAAGGGGUUAGGCACCUUUCAAAAUCCACAAAUAUGGUUUCCGACCAGACUUAGGUUUAUUAGAAAAGAAAAAAAAAUUAAUGUUUGUAAAUACAAAAAUAAAAUAUGUACUGAAAUAAUAUGACACUUAUGAUGUCGUAAAAUAUAUAUAAACAAAAUAUAUAAAUAUGCAUGUAAAGACAAGAUUGAAUAAAGAAAAAUUACUUUAAUGAAAAAGACUACGUAGUAUUUUUUAAUGUAAAAGGUGUGAAUUAUUUGAUUAAAUAUCUAAAUCAAUUUUAAUGUAAAUAUUAAAGGCCUAAAUUUGCCUAACGCGUAAUGAGAAUUGCGUAAAAAAUAAAAUUAUCAGAAGAUUAUAUUAAAGAAAAAAAACUAUGCAAUAUCUUUCAAUGUAUAAGUAUGAAUUAAUUAAGUAUCUAAAUUAAUUUAAUUUUUUCAUAUAAAUAUUAACGACCUAAAUUUGCCUAGACGCGUGGUGAAUAUUUGUAUAAAAGCAUUCCCGCUCAACGCUCCAAAAAUAAAAUUUUCACUAUACUUGACAUUUUGUACGAGCGUAAAAAUAUAAAAAUUAAAAUCUUCUUUGCAUGUCAUUCCUGAUAAAUAUUUCCAAUAACCUUUAUAAACACUUGUAGUAAAAUGUUAGUAACAAAUAAUAACUAUAAAAAUAAAUUGUGAACGUAUGUGUGCAUAUAUGUAAAAAAAAUAAUUUUCUUUAAAAGGUGGGCUCAGAUUAGAUUUUAAAUACGACAUGGCUACGAAGUGGUUGCUGAUUUAUUAGCCGUCCUAAAUCAUCUUGCCAAGAUACGAAUAAAAAUAGACCGCCUUCAAAUAAAAAUAGAAAUGCAUGUAUGUGAAAAUGGACACCUUAAAUGAAAGGUAAAACAAAUGCCCGUAUAUGAAGUGGACAUCUUGAAAAAAGAAAGAAAGAAUUUUUUUAUUUUCUUGAUAAAAAGUGCUGAAAGAUGAAGAAGACAAGAUCAUGUCUUGGCUUCAGUUGUUACCAAUAAUUAGUAGUGUGCAUUAGAAUUCCCCCAUCCUUUUCUCAGCUAACCGAGAUCAACUUCAGGCCAACUCCUAUAGUUUUAAGUGGUACUUUAGACAUGCCUAAGUAUCGACAAGAUUUUUUGUCUUGCUUCAAAUAAAUGUUUUGAGCUAUGUCUAUUCUCAUGCUUCAAGUGCCAUUUCCAAAAAGAAAGUCUCGUUUCACACAUUAUUUGAGUAAUUUUUUUUUAAUUUGGGGACACCUAGAAGAAUACGCUCACACUCAGAAAGAGAUUUAAUGCAUGCAAUUGUGAUACCAUAGGCUUGACCUUCAUGUAAGUAUCUACUAAUAUGAGAACACUUGAAAUAGAAUCUCGUAGGACUUGAUAUCGGCUUCUAGUGUAGGCUUGGGGACGGUUAAGAUAAUAUUUGGCAUAGAAGUGACUAAUUCCUCAAUGAUCAUUACACUGUAUUUGUGCGUUUGACGUUUGUUGCUCUUUGACACAUGAUCUUUUUUAUUGUGCUGCGUUGUCCCUUGCAUUGGAGUUUUCCCCUUUUCAAGAAACUAUAUAUUUUUUGUUCUUUUUUUUCUAUUCUCUUUUUUUUUGUGGGAUGUUUGCUUUUUUUGAAGUUAUUUUUUUCAUCUGGGACAAUAUAUCCUUUGCAUUUUGCAUUUUUGAUCUUGAAUUUUUGUCCACAAUAUGCAGGCAUUUAGUGUGCUCAAGGAGGUAGGACCAAGAGAGGGACAAAGCAUGUAAGCACUUGAAAAGGUAUAGGCUCAAAUGCGGUUGUCCAAAGAAAGGUUUUACGCUCAAAAAGGGAAUGCUAGGGAUUAAUGUCAUUUGGUGGGCUGUGAAAGACAUAAUUGGGUCAAAAAGGCCUAUGGUCCUUUCCUAAAUCAAGUGCAACUUAGAAUUUCGCCUCAACAAACAUUUAGGUCAAGUUCUAGAUCAACAAUGCAAUGUAAUGAAUUGAACUAAAGCUCACCACACAAUGUAAUUGAAACGACAAAGUUGACUCCGUUCUUGUCUUAGAUGUAUGCAAGAGAAUUUUCAAGCGUUACUCAAGUGUGAUAAAAGGUACCAAAGAAUCUAUGAUUUACCAUGAAAUCGGUCCUUUACAUCAUACCAAUUUGUUCUUUCUCAUGCACACUCCUUACUGUAUUGGUACCAACCAAGUUAAAAAUUUAUUAUUUUUCUAAAAGAAUGGGACCGAAUUCAAAUGAAGGUUACCUACGCAUCUUGUAAAAAUAAGAAUCAGGUCUGCGUAGUUUAGGAAAAUCUGUAAAUUUGAAUGUAGCAUGCAUGAUUGCAAAAAAUAAUGUGGAAGAUAAUCAAGAAAGAACUGCUUUUAACAUCAAAUUGUUUCGAUCAAACGAUCGAGAGGAUGGAUGUCAAGCAUGGGGAGAGUUUUCACACAACUUCAGUAUACUGAAAAAAUUUAAAAAAAUCAGAUAUUGAAAAAUUAUGACAUUAUUUCACCGCAGUUGGUAGGAUUAAAAUAACUGAAAUAAUAUUGAACCCUUACUUUUGAAAAUGAGGAUCGACACGCCAUAAGUUUAAUAGUUUACAACGUUCGAAUGAAUAAGCCAGAUAUUCUUACACAAAAACAGGUGAGGAAUUGAAGGUAGGACGGUUAGACAAUAAUGUAAUUAAGAUUUGGAGUUGAGGAGUUAUUGAUUGUGGUCUUAAAGAAUUUUGGAGAGCAUUUUUUAACUGUUCCAGAAAAUUGCCCCAGUUUUAAGUACCAGAGAAAUUAUUCUAAAACAGUGAAGAGACAGAACCCUAAUACUGGGUUGCCUACGUAUCUUGUCAGGACAAGAAUCAGGUCAAAACGUAGUUCAAACCUAUACGUAAUUAAUGACAAUAUUGCUAAGGUGCAUUUUUAACUGAUCCACUAUGCAAAACAAAGGUUAGACGACACGUUCUCACUAAAGUAUAAUCAAUUCAAAGCAAACAAUUAUGUACAGACACAAUAAUCUUUCAAAUAUAUACAAAGAAAAUAAUAAUGCGUCACUUGGGUCGUGAACCCUUCGGACAUAAAGUUGACUAACGAUGCAUGCACCUAAAAGGUAUUGUUUAAGUUCUAUCUUAUGUUGACUAAGAAUGGGUAGACUCGAACUUGAAUUUCCUAUAUGAGAAGACACGUGGUCCCACGACAGUAAAACUCCCGCUCACUCCACAUAUACGCCGACUCUCUAAAAUAAAGUGAUUUGAAAGAAUUUUGAGAAAGUACAAUGUAUAAUCCGAGCGUAUAAUGUGUGUGAGUGUCAGUAUUUUAAAAUGGAGGAAAUAUGAACAGAAUGUCAAUUUAUAUAAAGCGAUAAACAAAUAAACAAUUUAAACAAAAUAAUAACAAAUAAAUAAUUUAUGCCACAUACACAAGAUAAAUCAAGACAAUUAGUUUGAAACAAAUAACAAUGUAUAAAAACAUAAAUAUUUACCUAAAUCUGUAAUGGUUAGAACCUUGCAUCCCCAGCAGAGUCGUCAAACUGUCAUACCCGAUUUUUACCUAAGGUCAAAAUGAGCACGAUAUUGUGGACUCUAAAAGAAUUGAUUUUAUGCAGAGUCGCUACCUAAUUUUUAAGGAAAAAUAGGAAACUUACUUAUUUGUUAACAAGUAUGACUUUAUUUUAAUCUACGAAACCAGUUUGAAUUUUAGGUAAGAGUUCAAAUUAUUCUAAAGGAAAGGGGUUAGGCACCCUUCAGAAUCCACAAAUAUGAUUUUCGACCAGACUUAAGUUUAUUAAAAAAAGAAAAAAAAUUAAUGUUUGUAAAUACAAAAAUAAAAUAUGUACUGAAAUAAUAUGACAGUUAUGCUCCCGUAAAAUAUAUAUAAACAAAAUAUAUAAAUAUGCAUGUAAAGAUAAGAUUGAAUAAAGAAAAGUUACUUUAAUGAAAAAGAUUACGUAGUAUUUUUUUAAUGUAAAAGGUGUGAAUUAUUUGAUUAAAUAUAUAAUCAAUUUUAAUAUAAAUAUUAAAGGCCUGAAUUUGCCUAACGCGUGAUGAGAAUCGCGUAAAAGUUAAAAAUAUUAGAAGAUUAUAUUAAAGUAAAAAACUAUGCAAUAUCUUUCAAUAAAUAAGUAUGAAUUAAUUAAGUAUCUAAAUUAAUUUAAUUUUUUAAUAUAAAUAUUAACGACUUAAAUUUGUCUAAACGCGUGGUGAAUAUUUGUAUAAAAGCAUUCCCGCCCAAUGCGUCAAAAAUAAAUUUUUUAUCAUAAUUGACAUUUUGUAUAAGUGUAAAAAUAUAAAAUAUAAAUAUAAAAAUUAAAAUCUUCUUUGCAUGUCAUCCCUGAUAAAUAUUUCCAAUAACCUGUAUAAACAAUUAUAGUAAAAUGUUAGUAACAAAUAAAUAACUAUAAAAAUAAAUUGAGAACGUAUGUGUGUAUAUAUGUAAAAAAAAUAAUUUUUAUUAAAAGGUGCACUCAAAUUAAAUUUUAAAUACGACAUGACUACGAAGCGAUUGCUGAUUUAUUAGUCAUCCUAAAUCGUCUUGUCAAGAUACGAAUCAUAAAAGUUUUUGCGUUGUUAUCAAAUUUUUAUCAUCACCCAAAAAAUAUUCAUUUUAUUAAGUAUUUAUACGUAAUAUCCGUCUUUUUAUUUGUAAAGGUCUCGAAAAUUAAUGAAAAAUUUCUUGUAUUGAUCUUUAAUAUAAAAUAAUAACUUUAAUAAAAUAAAGUCAUCGUUUGUAAUAAAGUGACCUCAAAUAUCCAAACGGAUUGAUAAUUUCAUUGCCAAGUAUUGUAGUAUUUGUUCAUUAUCAGUCAAACAUAUUCAGAGAGGAUAAAAGGUUGCCCAAACAAUCCUCAAUGUGCAAAACAUAGUAAUGGAGAAUUUGCCAAAGUAAAAAAUGUGAACAAAUCAAGAAUCAAUCCAAAUAUCCAAAGCAGUAUUAGAGCAACAAUCAGCCAAAAAUAAUCAUAAAUGACAAAAACAAUCACAAAUGGAUCCCCAAAGCAAGCGAUGUUCAUUCGAGAAAACCAAAACCUCGCCGGAAAAUCCAUCACACAAAAAUAUUUUUUCAGUCAUGUUUGCCCAACUCCGAUCAAAUCCGAAAAAAACUACACAAGAACGAAAAAUUGUAAAAAUAUUAUCAAGCAUUUGAAAGUAAACAAAGAAAUCAACUAACACCGCUGCUUCAACGGCGAUGGAACGCCGGAGCAGCGGGUUUUUUGGGGCAAAUUCGUAGCAGAUCCACCAGGGAGGGGGAGGUGUCUCGCAGGAGAAAAGGAGAGGAAGAAGGGGACGUGCAACACGGUGGUGUCUUGCAACGCCGGCCGACCGGUGGUCAGUUCCGGCGGCCGUGGCGACCGCAUACGAGAGACGAUGGGUUUGGUUUUUUUAGAAAGAGAACGAGGAAAGAAAAGGGGAGCAGACGUUAUGUACUGUUUUUGUGCGCGUGUGUUUGUGCGUUAGUUUUAGAGAAAGAGAAAAAAUGGAAGAAAAUAUGUAGAGUAAAAAAUCUGAAGUUUUUUUGUAUGUGUACUGUAUGUUGAGUAUUUAAAAAGAAAAAAUAAUUCAUCAAAUCUACAAUUUUUUAACAUAUUUCUUAUAUUUAGAAAAGCAGAUUGAAAAAAGUCAAAAGAUUAAAAAAAUAAUAAGACUUCGACUUGAUGAUUAAAAAAAUAAUAAGACUUCAACUUGACUAAUUUAUUAUUGUGUGUAUUAAAAUAAUUAAAUCGACUCACAUUUGUAAGUCACAUUAAAUGAUAUACAAAAAUAUGAAUAUCAAUGUAUAAUUACAGAAAAAAAAAUAUAAACAACAAAUAAGAAAUACAAUUGUCUUGAAAAAAUAUCUUAUGCUAUAAAUAAUUAAAAUUAUAUUACACGAUAAAAAAUUGCAAUGCUAUGUUAUGUACGUAUGCAGAGGACUGUGCAAUAAUAUUAAAAUAAUAAUAAACUGAUAAAAAUUUUAAAAUUUACGAAAUUAAGAAUAAUUAUUAAUAAAUUAUUCAAAGUUAAAAAUAUGACAAAAAUUAGUGAAAAAAUCAUAAAAUAAUGACGAUUAUCAAUAAUUUGUUAAAAAUUAUAAAAAAUGUACGAAAAGCUGCGUUUUGUGCACUUUAACUAUCAGAGAGUUUAAAUGCGUUAAUUUUAUUCAAAAACUAAAAAAUAUCUCUUUUAACUAAUGUAUAAAUAAUUUUUUACCCAAAAAAUAAAAGUCUCAACCCAUUACUUCAAAUGUCUAUCUUUUAAAAAGUUGACAUGAUGUUAACUUGAUUGAUUUUCGCUCUGUGUAUUAAAAUAAUCAAACCGAUAUUAUCGUUUGCAGACCAUAUUAAAUAAAAUACAAAAAAUAUAAAUGUCGACAUAUAAUUACAAAAAGAAUGUAAAAAAAUAUAAUUAUCUUUAAAAAGUUAUAUUACGCUAUAAACAAUUAAAUUAUAGUAUGCGGUAAUAAUUAUAAUGCUAUGCUUAUGUACGGAUGCAAAUGACUUUACAAAAAAUAUUACAAUGACAAUAAACUGAUAAAAAUUCUAAAAUUUAAGACAUUAAGAAUAAUUAUCAAUAAAUUAUGCAAAGUUAAAAUAUGACAAAAUUGAUAAAAAAAAAUCCUAAAAUUAUGAUGAUAAUCAAUAAUUUAUUAAAAAAUAAAAAAAUAUGCAAAAUUGUAUUUUGUAUUAUUUAACAAUCAAAAAGUCAAAAUGCAUUAAAUUUAUGUUUGGAGAGCCAAAAUUGGGUGUCAACAACAAAAACGUAAUUAUAUAAAGAAACUCCCUCUCAUCAUCUCUAAAUCAUGCCCCAAUACUAUUAUUUAUAUUGAGAAAACUGUUUUCAAAUCAUAAAUCAUGCAUUUCAAGCCAUUCACAAUAAGAUCAUAAACUUAAAUUCAUCACAAGUGAACGAUUUCAUAAUUUAUGCUCUCAAACAAUCUUCAAAUCUAAAUUUUCAUAUAUAUACAUAAUGUAUAAAUCAACUUUAAGGGGAAAAGACCUAAAGGCCAAAACAACAAUGUCAUUAAAAUAUUCAUGAUGCAUAAUUUAAAACAUGGAUUUCAAAACCCCUUUGAAAUUUCAUGCUUGAUGAUCUUUAAAUCAUAUUCAAGUAUUUCAACAAGCCCAUUUAGUUUUAGGAUAACCCCCACGUACCUUAGGUUGUUUAGAAGGAAGAGUGGAUUUUGAAUUUCACAUUAGUUCUUGAAACUGUUGACUUGCAAGGAUGAGCUCUUGAUCCAAAAAGAAGAGGCUAGGAUUUUUAAUUGAUGUUAAGAGAGUAAUUUUUCAUGAAAACCAACCUAAAGUGCUGAUAAGAUGCUUUAAUCUCGUGUUUUGGGCGUAUUGGGAUAAGGGAGAAUAACUCAAUUGGCCUUAAAAUGCGGAUUUUAAAAACUGAAUCAACUGGGCUUCGACGCGAUAGGCGACGCGGCGCAUCGAUACCAUCGAUGCGAUACCUGACGCGGCAUGCCCUACUCGUGCCAAGCCUCAUUACUUUUGCCUAGCAGUUCCUGUACAAAAUUGACCAACGAGAUGGACGGCGCGGCGCACCAAGAUUGCGUUGGUCCACUGUUUUGGGACACCAAACAAGUUCUUAGCGUGGCCUGCAAAAAAUUUAAAACUUGUCCGAGAUGUACUAUCAACUUACCCCAUUGUGAAUCAACUUAAAAAUUAAAUAUCGAAGGUCGGGAGGGUCGUAAAAUGAAUCCUCAAAGAUUUAGAGCUCAAAAUGAGACUAAGUCCUUUUGACACUUAGAAAAAUUUUCAAGUUUUCAACUCUAUAAGCAUGCUACUAGGAGAUAACACAUGAGGACUUUUGCGGGGUGUUACAAGCCUACUAUGGUGAGUUUCAACAGCUCAUCUUGAAACUUGAUCAUAGAGGAGAACAAGUGAGCCACGAUAUUAUCCAGUUCAAGGUCGGCCUAAAUAAGGAAAUCUCUACGCAUAUGACUCUUCAAAAGUUUGAAACUAUUGAAGGGAUCUUUAAAGUGGAUUUAGAGAUUGAACGAGAGAACAAGGAAAGGUCGGCAUACAAAACCAAAACAUACCAAGGUUCCUCAGUUGGAACAAGGGGAGAGAAGUGGUUCCAUCGACUUCAAGGUGGAACAAGUCCAAACAACAACCAACCAAGGCCCCUCUACCCAUGAACAAGGUUGCUCCACCACCUCCUUCAUGGUUUGAGCAAGCCGAAUAUUUUCUCAAAUGUCAAGGGAUUUCAAUGCUUCAAAUGCCACAAAUGGGGACACAAGACUAGUAAGUGUCCUAGUCGGAGAAAUGUGAUAUUGAGAGAAGGGAAUUUGUAUUUCUUGGGAGAAGAUUAGGGCUUGAAACGGUUGAAAAUGAAGAAGCCUCUCAAGAUGGAAAGAGAAGGGAGGCCGAGAGGCCUGGUGAUGAUAAUGAAGAUGAGGUUUGGCCACAAGUAGGUGAACUUUAAGUACCUAAUUAUAUGGUAUGGAGAGAUAUGAUUAGCAAAGCAUUGGAUUAUCCUAGCCAAUAGGAAAACCUCUGUCAUACUAAGUGUCUCAUUAAGGGGAGUGUGUGCUCCUUGAUUAUUGAUAGCAGAAGUUGUGCUCAUGUAGCUAGUGCCUCAAUGGUAGAUCACUUGAAGUUACCAACCAUUCCUCCUGCGAUUUGUAUAGACUAAUGGUUGAAUGAUUAUGGAGAGUUAAAGGUAACUCAUCAAGUGGUGAUUCGGUUCAAAGUUAAAAAUUAUGAGGAUGAGGUACUUUGCGACAUGAUUCCUAUGCAAGCUUCUAGUCUCUUGUUGGGUCGGCCAUGGAAAUAUGAUAGGUUGACCAAACAUGAUAGCCAAACUAACUACUACUCCUUUGAGUUCAAGGGUCGAAAGUACAACCUCCGACCACUAUCACCAUCACAAGUGUGUGAGGCACAUCGACAAAUGAAGAGUUUGCAAGGAAAGGGAAGGAAAAAAAGAAACCCACGGGUAGAGAGGAUAAACCCAAAAGUGGGAAGGGUGAGGGUGAAGAGGGAGUCUCGGAUUUGAGGGUUAGGGAUUCGAUGGUAAUGUUGGAUCGAAAGGGCGACCUCUUCAAAGAGUAUGAUGAUACUACUCCCAUGUUACUUUUGGCUCAUAUUUUGAAUGUUAACCCAUUCACUCCCCCUAUCCCGUCUUCUAUUUCCAAUGUUUUGCAGGAAUUUGAUGAUGUAUUUCCUAGUGAAUUGCCGCAAGGACUUUCUCCACUUCGAGGAAUUGAGCAUCAAAUCGACUUUAUUUUGGGGUCGCAAUUGCUGAACAAUUCGGCUUAUAGGAGAAACCCCAUGGAUACAAAGAAAAUCCAACGGUAAGUUGAGGACCUCCUCAACAAAGGAUAGAUCAAGGAAAGCAUGAGUCUAUGCACAGUCCCGGUGUUGCUUGUGUCGAAGAAGGAUGGAACAUGGUGAAUGUGCAUGGACUGUCGAGCCAUAAAUAAAAUUAUAGUAAAGUGUCGUUAUCCCAUUCCUAGGUUAGAUGAUAUGAUUGAUGAACUAAAUGGCUCUUGUGUGUUUUCUAAGGUUGAUCUUAAGAGUGGAUAUCACCAAAUCCGUAUGCAACUGGGUGAUGAACGGAAUACCGCAUUCAAGACCAAGUUUGGUCUAUAUGAGUGGAUGGGCAUGCCAUUCAAUCUCACCAACGCUCCUAGUACUUUUAUGCGGCUAAUGAAUUAUGUGAUGAAGCCGUUUAUUGGCAAGUUUGUGGUUAUAUACUUUGAUGAUGUUUUAGUUUAUAGUAAGUCCCUUAAUGAACAUUUAUUGCAUCUAAAGAGUGUGUUUGAUGUUCUUAGGAAAGAAAAGUUUUAUGCUAAUAUUGAGAAAUGCUCCUUUGGUGUUGAUAAAGUUGUGUUUUUAGGAUUUGUUGUGAGCUCGAGGGGAGUGGAGGUAGACGAAUCCAAUAUAAUUGCCAUUAAAGAUUGCCCAACCCCUAAAACCGUGGGUGAAGUUUGGAGUUUCCACGGGUUGGCAAUUUUUUAUAGGAGGUUCUUCAAAGAAUUUAGUACCAUUGCCGCUGUAAUAACCCGUAUUUUCGUGCUAAAAUUCUAACCGUCGAUCUUACGCGUCUAAGCUCUAAUACAAAUGAGUUGAAUGUGAAUAAAAGUUUCAUGAUCAUUAUCCUAGUCUAUAUAGUAGUUUAGAGGUGACAAAUGUUCAUAGCAAUGACCUAGAACAAAGUUGAGCUAAGACCAAUUGAUUCAUCCAAAGUUUGACAUUCGAUUCUACAAGGGUCAACUUAAAACGUGUAUAUCUAUUAAUAUACAUGGAAUUUUUCAUCCCAAGACCUAUCAAAUUGUAGAUAAUUGAAUUAUCUUUCCAACGAUACUAAUUUCGUAAAAAUCUGAUACCCGAGCGAAGAGUUAUGCCCAUUUUCGUGAGAGACAGUAAGGGUAUGCGAUUGGUUAGGCGCCGCCCAACCAAGCUUAGGUGAUUGGUUAGGCGCCGCCCAACCUGGCUUGUGAGAUUACUUGGGCGUCGCCUAAGUCAGUUCCAAGUGCCAAAAACACUUCGUUUGACUUAUAUCAAGUGUGUUGAAGUCAUUUCACACCCCUAAACCGUCCCUAAUCACUCCAAAUCAUUGAUAAGGGAUUUUAAACACAUAAUUACAAUCCCUAAGACCUAAAUCAGUCAAGUUACGAUCCAAAAACUUUCCUCUCUUCCCAAGAAAAAAAUCUAAGUUUACCUCUCAAGAAUUAGGAAGUUAAGCUCCGAAUUCAAAGUUCUCUACAAGGAUUCUUUCAAUCAAGCUUGAAGGUCCAGUCUUUCAAUGAAUCCGUUACCAUAAAGGUAUGUGGAGUUUUCAACAAGAGUCUUCUUUCGUUCUUGUGCCCAAAUUGAUGUUUACAUUUACAAAUAUACAUGAUUUUAUAUGAUUUACUAUGAAUUUGAGAUGGAAACUUAUAUAUUAUAUUUUGUUCAAGAAACUAUGAUAUUUUGAUGCCUUGAAGUUGAAUUCCAUGAACUUUGAUGAUAAUAUCAUGUUUAAAGUUAAAAUUUCAGAUUUUGUAUGAAUUAUAUAUGGUUGCUACAUAAAGUAUGAAUCUUGAAGUAUUUUGCUCAAGUGUUGAUAUAUGGGAUUUAAACCCUCUUUGAGAUUAUGAUCUUUGGUGAAGUAAUGUGUUAUAUACACCUUGAUAUUUGAAUGAUUUGACCUUUUGGUCUUGAAAGAGUUAUUUUUGAACUCGAAUGAGAAAAGAAAUCCACAUGUUGAUUUUAUUAUGAAAAAGGGGUAGCAUGACGGCUCCCGAUAUGAAUUACUGAAUUGUGUUGUUGUGGGUUUUCUUUUGAAAUGAUCUGAGCUAAGUCCGGGAGUAGUCUUUAGCACUGAGUGGGAGGUAUAGCUGUGAUUGGUACUUCCCUAAAACUACGUGCCCUCAUAGGAUGUGAGCCUUAGGCUGCUUGAUAUAGUGAUCACUAGUGAACCAAAGGUUAAGGUCCUACUCCGAUGGCAAGGAUAGGACAACUCUCCCCAACGUGGAUUGGACGUUGGACUCCAUAUAGCCCACAUGGUUUAUGUCGGUUGUAAGAGGCUCCCAAUGUGUGUGUGUGUAUUCUCCUAUCUAAUAUGAAAAGUCUUAUUCUUCUAUCUGAGACGAAAACAUAUUUGUUUGAAAGACAGAGUUUGAGAAAGUCAUUAUUUUCGAAAGAUUUAAUGAACAUAUAUUCCAAAGAGAAUUGUUAUGAGAUUUGAUUACUUUGAUGAUUUGGAAUCGAGAUGUAAGUGAAUUGAGAUUUAUUAUGAUGACUCACAUAUUUCACCUGAUAUAUUUUACUCUCUUAUGAUUAUGAUGAUUUUAAUUCGAGCUAAGUGAGUCAUUUAUAUCAGUAUGCAUAAUUUUAUAAACUGUGAUGAUAUUAAGAUAUUAUUUUAUAUAUACAUUGCACCCCCAUAUGCUCGGGGCGUUUCCAUGGUACUGACCCGCAUAUUCGUAUGUGGGUUACAUUUUCUCGGAAUGUAGGUACAAGGUAUAGUGUACAUCUUCAGAUCCAGUCAGUUCGCGGUAUCCCGUCAACAGGUGAUGAGUCCUUUUGAUUCAAGGGCUUGAGUUAGUUAUACAGUUCGAGAAGUGUUGUAUUUUCUUUAUUCAGUCGUAUUGAGUUGGGUUAGUCGGGAUUCAUUACCCGGCUACCUACAAUCAGUACUAGUAAAGGCUUCAUAGACAGUCAGUAGAAGUUGAUGUAUUCUAUUUCAGUUUUGGUUGUAAUCUUGUAAAUUUAGUUUUGUAUCUGUCAUAUUCAGAAAAGAGUUAUUUUUCACAAAUUUGUAUAGAUUUAUACUUUUUGUUCAGUUGCUUAUGAGUUAUGCCAGUAGAAGGGUUAGCUUGGGGUCACUUGUGAUUCUAAGCACCGCGUGACGUCUCGAGACCCAAUUUUGGGGUGUUACAGGUGAAAUCAUCUGAAAGGACCAAUCUUUCAAGUGGGGUGAAUAGCAAUCUAAGGCCUUUAAGACCUUGAAAUAUAUGCUUAUUUCGGCACCAUUGUUGUAAUUUCCUAACUUUGACAAGAUGUUUGAAAUAGAAUGUGAUGUUAGAAAGGUAGGCAUAGGCACAGUUUUGAUGCAAGAAUUGAAGCCUAUAACUUACUUUAGCGAAAAUCUCAAAGGAGCAACUUUAAACUACUCUACACAUGAUUUGGAGUUGUAUGCCUUGGUUAGAGUGUUAGGCAAUUGACAACACUAUCUUUGGCCCAAGAAAUUUAUAAUCCGAAUGAAUCAUGAAUCUUUGAAGCACCUUCGGUCAUAAGACAAACUUAACAAACGACAUGCCAAAUGGAUUAAAUUUCUUGAAAUCUUUCCCUUUGUGAUUCAAUACAAAAAGGGUAAGGAUAAUGUGGUAGCCGAUGCAUUGUCUNNNNNNNNNNNNNNNNNNNNNNNNNNNNNNNNNNNNNNNNNNNNNNNNNNNNNNNNNNNNNNNNNNNNNNNNNNNNNNNNNNNNNNNNNNNNNNNNNNNNNNNNNNNNNNNNNNNNNNNNNNNNNNNNGCAUUCAAAUUCCAUCCCCUAUGUCGUUUUUGAUAGGUACUUGUUUCUAGGAAGAUGGUUAUGUGUACCUUCUAGCUCUUGAAGAGAGUUUUUUAUGAGGGAGGCAUGCGACGGUGGUCUCAUGGGUCACUUUGGAGUUGAUAAGACCCCCGAAAUAUUAGAGGAACAAUUCUAUUAGCCAAGGAUGCUCAAAGAUGUUGUGAAAGUUUGUGGCCAAUGCAUGGAUUGUAGGAGUGCUAAGUCUAGGCUCCUUCCUCAUGGGUUGUACACCCCGCUUCCCACUCUAGUAUGUCUUUGGUUUGAUAUUUCUAUGGAUUUCAUAUUGGGGCUUCCAUGGACUCAAAGGGGUCGGGAUAGCAUCUUUGUUAUUGUUGAUCAUUUAUCCAAAAUGGCACACUUUAUACCUUGCAAAAAUAAUGAAGAUGCGGCUAGUGUAGCUUCUUUGUUUAUUGAACAUGUUAAGUUGCAGGGCAUCCCAAAGACCAUUGUAAGUGAUAGGGACUCCAAGUUCCUUAGUCACUUUUGGAAGUUAAUAUGGGGUAGGCUCGAUACCAAGUUGUUGUUUUCUACGUCUUGCCACCCACAAACCAAUGGCCAAACGGAAGUAGUAAAUAAAAACUUAGGUUCUAUUUUACGUUCCAUGGUUAAAGGUAAUUUGAUGUAUUGGUAAGAUCACCUACCACUCAUAGAAUUUGCUUACAAUCAGGUGAUUCAUUCAAGUACGGGCAUAAUGCCCUUUGAAUGUGUCUAUGGCUUUAACCCCCUUGGAUAUAACUCAUUUGACAAGUGAUGUUGUUGUUAGCUUAGAUGGAAAUAAGAGGGCCAAAUCUAUGAAAAGCUUACAUGAGAAGGUGAGGUUGCGGCUUGAGAAGAAGAAGCAAGAGUUGGCCAAAUGAGUCAACAAGGGAAGAAGACGCCUUGUGCUUGAGCCGGGAUAUUGGGUGUGGGUACAUCUAUGGAAAGACCGAUUUCCCAACCAAAGAAAGGUAAAGUUGCUUCCAUGAGGUGAUGGUCCAUUACAGGUUCUUGAAAGAAUCAACGAUAAUGCUUACAAGAUCGACUUGCCUCUGGAAUAUCAAGUACAUAACACGUUCAACGUGUGUGAUCUCUCACGGAUUGAUACUAUUGAAGAUGAUGAACUCAUGAGUUUGAGGUCAAACUCCUCUCAAUAUGGAGAGGAUGAUAUGAGUGUCGUGGGCUCGAGACCAUUUACUAUAAGCCAAGCUCGGGAACUACAAAUACUUCAAGGCACGUUUAUGAAAAUGGAUGCGGUUGAGCUUGUUGUGAACUCUCCCAAAGGAGUGUAUGCCUUGACAUUGAGGGAUGACCUUAGGUGCUCAAAAUACACCCAAUGCUGCCCCAAAACACUCCACACCCGCCACCCCUUCAUUAAGGGUAAAGGGGUGAUACAAGUCAAAUGGCCACCCUAAUUUUUGAAGACAUGAUUGGAGACCAUCACUUAAAGUCUCAAGACUUGAUCACCCUGAGGGCCCAAGAAUAUGCAAGGAACACCCAUUUUGAGCCUACCAUUCAUCAAAGUCGUGAGUAAAAGAUUGCUUGAAGCAUUGAAGACUCGAGGAUUCACGGUUUUGGAGACUUAAUAGCUCACGAUUUUGGGCCAUCUUCAUUGAGGGAAUUUUGAUCACUUCACUUUGCCCAAAACGCAUUCCAUGGCCACCCCUCUAACUAUGGGUAGUGUAGUUAUUUGUCUUCUUUUUUAAUGUAAUAUAAAUAGAACAAUAUAAGGUUUUUAGAAUUUAGUUGUUUAUUAAUGGAAGACAAACUCUCUCUCUAGUGUGAGGAGUGUAACACCCACCAAUCUGUAACUAGGACUGCCCAAAUGUGGAUAUCACUUCUGUUGCAUCGUUGGCUUGAUACGUUGGUGAUUAGGGAGGUAAAGUCCCUCUUUUGUCAACAUUCAUGUGGUUAGGGUUCUUAGAUUCUUGAAUAUUAUAUGUCAAACUAUCUAUCCAUCUCUUUUGUUAAAACUGUAUUGUUGUUGGUCUUUGAAGUCUAGUGAAGCCGUGUGGGGCUCUUUCGAUUCACUAGCAUUGUUGUUCUUGUGUUCAUCUCUUUUAUUGCUCAAAACUAAAUCUAAAGUCUAGUGAAGCCGUGAGUGGCCUGUUUCGAUUCACUAGCACCUUGUUGUUCAUCUUGUUGCUCUUGUGUUGGCUUGAAUCUCUUGAUACACACUUAGUCUUGUAUCAAGGGGUCGUAUCAAGGGUUCGUUUUGCAAUACCUUUGUAAUAGACUAUUGAAACAUUUUCCUUAGUCUUAUUCCUUAGUUAGCUUAUUUUUGAAUCAAGAUUGUAACAUUGAAACACCAUCCUCUCAAGAGAGAGUAGACCACCAUUGACAUCACAAGAGACGGUUUUCUUCUUGUGUUGUGUGUAUUGGCUAGAGACGUGAGUUCUUGAAUGAAUCGAGUUCCUCUUGGGUUUGCGUAAGAACUUGGUGCUUGUUAAAUUAUUUUGUAGAGGUUUUAGAGUUUGAUACACUCUUUAGUUGCUACCUAAUGAGUUCUCUUUGUGUCAAGUUACCUAUCCUUUUUAUUAUUUUAAGUUUGUAUUUGCUUCCUGUAUCGUAUUGUUGUCUUGUUGUUGCGGGUUUAGGCGUGUUGUUGUGACUGUUUGCGGACUGUUUUGGUGUAGUAGAUACUAUUUGGUAUCACUAUGAAAGGGCCUCAAGACCAAAACUCUAUAUCAUCAAAAGGGUUCACAAUGCAUAAUCUUUAAAGUAUUUUCAAAACCCUUCAUAAAUGCAUGAUUUCAUAACUUUAAAACUUACUAAAAACAUAUACACUGUGCCCAUGAAGUUUAGGAUAGCCUCACGUACCUUAAGUUCCUUUGUUUGAAGAAUAGAACCCUAAUCUUGAAACUUUUCUUGAGAAUUUUGAAUUGAAAAGUUUGAAUUCUUGUAUCUUGGGAAGAGGGAAGGGUUUUGUUUAAGAGUGAAUUGAAGAGAACGAGAAAUUUUGUGUCCUAAUUACGUUAUUAAUCGGGAUUAGAUGAAUAGAAUUGAUAGGAAAGGACAUAAUUGCCCCUUAGGCAUUUAAACUCGUAACUUGAUCAAGAAAUGCACACUGAUCCUUGCACUAAGAGUGCUGAAACUGUAGAAAACGUUAAAUGUCAACUUGGUGAAUAUAAAGGCGAAACUUAACCUUCUGAAUCUUGUGGAGAUAAAGUUUACACUUUUGAUGGAUUUUAAUGCAAAAAGUGUUUAGUGCAUAUAUAUCAGGGAAAACUAGUGGUUAUAAAUGUUCCGGAGGCAGGAGACUCUCGACUUUACUAACUCUUCUGAGAUUUUUUUCCAAGAAGGCAUUAAAUUCUGUUGAAUCCAUUUGGGUGAGUAGGGUAGGGGAAAAUGCUCUUUUCUUUUGAAAUUCACUUUUUUUUUCCUUGUAUUGGACAAAUAAGCAGAAAAUACAAAUUCAUCUAAUAUAUUGUUAUUAUGACUGUAGCUUUUAUGUUUGACAAACCAUAUAAAGGGACCUGGUACCAUGAUAAAUAUCGGCCUACUAGACAACUAAAAACUGUACUAUCUGGCAGCUCAGCAGCAGGUCUGCUGUAGUCCUUUUCCUUUCAGCCAAUAGCUGUGCUCCUAGGUUUUUUCCAAAUUGAAAAAGUUGAUGCUUUCAAGCAAAAACCGCAUCAAUAUUCCACUGCAUCAACAACAGAGACCUGCUCAUAAAGUUCACUUUUGUAGUUCUUGUUGUUGAUUUGUUUUCUUGUUCUUGAAUUGAAAACCUACUCUUUGUUCUAGACGUUUGGUGUAUGUGUUUUGUGUUCUUGUUUUAAGUCAUCUUCAUUAAGUCCAGCCAGCUAGAGUUGGUUGAUGGAUAUAUUACAAUAGAGUUAUUGUAAUAUGUGUUGCAACAGAGUUGUUGUAGGAGUUGAGGCAUUGAGAGUUUAGUUCCUGAAUUACAAGAAAUUUGAAGUUUCUCUUGUUUUAUGGAGCCUUUGGUGAAAUCCUACGGGUAGGUCAUGGAAUUUCCUCCCUCGUGUAAGGAGGUUUCCACGUAAUAUCGUGUGUUCUUUAAUUUACAUUUUCGUUUCUGAUGUGUUGCAUUACUGCUAACUGUUCAGAGCUAAGGACUUGAUCCCUUGACGGUGGUGGACUCUUGCAAGUCAACGUAUACCUUAUACAAAAUCUAUUCCUCCAAAUUGUUAGGAAUUAAAUAAGAAAGAACUUCCAGUAGUGAUACCUCUUUACUUGCCCUUAGUAUGUUGAAAGUCUUUCUUAUUAUUUCCUGUUUAAAUCAUACAAACAGCAGAAGAAAAUGGUCAUUAUAUGCAUUAAAUCCAUAGCCUAAAAUUUUGGCUUAUGUUUCAUUAGCCUACUGGAAAAAUUCUCUUACACUAUGAAAGCAGUACAUCAUUCAUCUAUUUUGUGUCUAUGAAUACUGCUAUUACCGCUGCAUAUAAUAAUCAAAACGAAGAGAUUUUUCAAGUUAGCUGCUCCACUAUCCUUGAAACAACUGAGCAUUGAAAGGGUGAUACAAGAAUUACAAGGACAACAUGAAACACACUUCAAAAUCAGUCCACAAGAUCAAAGAUCCGAGGAUCCUUUUGAAGACCACACUCGGAUUCAACAAACAACAAGAUGAAGAACAACAACAAUGGAACAAGAACAACAAGUCACGGAUUUGAAUUACAAGAACACAAACAAACGAUUACAACAUAAACAAAAUGGAUAGAUAGUUAGACCUUGGUUGGUAUAAUCUUAAGAAUCCAAGAAUAUGGUAAUCUUGGACCCUUAACACUACACACAACGGUUAACCUAACUCCUACGUUGACACAAGAGGAACUUUACCUCCUCUAAACACCAACGUCUCAAGCCAACAUUGCAACACAAGUGAUAUCCCCACUUGUUGCCCUCAUUUCGGUGUGGUGGCUAUUCCAAGCCCUACAACUAAAGGUGUUUCAUUCUUUCAAGUCUUACAUCAAUGAACAACUAAUGAGAAAAAGACCUAAGAUGUUCUAUUUAUAUUCUAUUAAAAGAUAAGGCAAAAUGACAACAAUGCCCUUAAAGGGUGGGGUGGCCAUGGAGUGCAUUUGGACCCAAUGAAGUGACCAAAAUAUCCUUAAUGAAGAUGACCAAAUCAUGACCCAUUAAGUUUUGUCCAAAACCGUGAGUCCUCAAGUCUUCGAUGCUUCAAGCAAUCUUCCACACAUGGCCUUGCUUGUGCUUAAAACGGGCCUUCCUUGCAUAUUCUUGUGCCCUCGGGGUGACCAAGUCUUGAGCCUUUAAAUGAUGACCUCCAAUCAUGUCUUUAAAAAUUAAGGUGGCUAUUUGACUUGUAUCAAAGGGAAAGUAUACUGCAAAGAGAAUGGCAGCAGCAAUCUACAAGAUUACCAGAAAGAAAUAUGGUGACUGGAUAGUCGAUAGGUAGGUAUUCCUAGAACCAAAAAAUGGAGUCUGUCAGUAUAUCUCAUGUCAACAUAGAAAGUUUUCAUCGUAUUACUUUUUCAAUUGCAGAAGUAUACUACUGAAUCUGGACUAUGCUGCAAUUGUUUUAAGUCGUGAAAAUUAUUGGUGCAGGAUUUUAUAAUUCCUCUUAGACAAUCCAAUUGUUGCAUCGUAAUACUUCUAAAGGAAAAUGAUAAAAGAAAUAUACACAGGCAAAAAUGUUGGUUCUUUUCCUUAUAGAAUCAUGAUGUAUAUUACUUAGCAAAUGAAUUUUUCCUCGAACUCAGAAAGUAAUAAUGAGAAUAGUGAGAGUAUUAAAUUCCACACUCCCCUGCUUUUCUUCUUUCUCUUUUACUUUUUCCUCAAGACUAGGGGUGGGCGUUUGGUCGGUUCGAUUUGAUUAUUUAAUAUUGAUUCGGUUUAUCGGUUUUCGGAUUGAUAAAAAUGACAUCAUAACCAAACCGAAAUAAAUUUGGUUUGGUUCGAUUAUUUCAGAUUAUUAUUUCGGUUUGAAAUAUUAAAGUAGUUAGCCUCUCUUUUUCAAUUUUAAAACAUAAUUCAUCUUCAAAUAAGGUUCGAGACAGCUCUUAUCAUGCAAACAAGAAAAACCAUCGACCAUAAUUUCAAGAUAACACAGACACUACAAACUACUAAGUACUAACAAUACCAUAUACUAAAGAGAUACUAAUAUAUAAGUAAACGGCAGACCCUAGUCAUCCCAUUGCUCGAUUGGAAUAAAAUGCAAAAUGAAAUCACAAUAUCAUUAUCUAUUUUUAGUUACAUCCAUAGACCAUAGGAUAACUAAUAAAGAGGUUUUUGAGAACAUUUGGUAAAACUGCAGACAAACAAAGAUGCAGGGUGAAUGCAACAGCCAACAGGGGAGACACUUAAAACACCUUAAGCUUAAACAACAGAACAAUCUAUAAAAUGAUAAAACAGUCCGUCAGUCACCACUACCAUCCACCAAUCCACAAAACAGUUGGUCUAAUCGAAGCAAUUUGCAGACGACAUCACCAUUCACCAAGAAGCAACAUAAUUUAGAGCCAAAAAACUACUCAAAAGAGACAAAAUGAUUAUAAUCACCGGUCUCCGAUCAACAAACAAAAACUACGGCCAGUCGCCGCCUCAAACACAAUCGACGGUGCCGCUCAACAAACACGAAACACCAGUCGCGGGUCUUUAUUUGCAGAUCGCCGAUCAUAGUGUUUUUAUAAAGAAACAGAGUAGAUUGCCGGUGCCCGGUGGUCUAUCAUCGUUGUAAAGGAAAAGCCGAAAGCGAAGUGUGUGUGAAUUGUAAUGGGAUUUUGUGAUUUAGGCUCCUUUAGGAUUAGGGUUAUUAAAUUAUAUAACUAAUAUAAUUCUGAUUUUUGUUUUUUCGGUUUAACUGAUUUUUUUUUAAGAAAACCAAAAACUGAACCGUAAAACCGAAUUAUGAAAAUUGAAAAUCAAAAUCAAUCCGAAAAAUUAAAAAAUCGAAACCAAAAUUAAAUUUCGAUUCGAUUUUUUAGUUUUUUUUGUUUUAUCCAAAAUAUGCCCAGGUCUACUUAAGACUUCCUGGGAAAAGAACAUUUGGCCUCGAGUAGUGAUCAAUUCGGAGAUGAUUCCUUUUUCUAGACAAAUGGAAAUGGCCCAAGCCUAAAAUUUCUUCCUUAAUUUCAUAUUUAAACUCUUAAAUUAAUUGUCCAACUAAUUCUGUUAUUCUAUUACAAGGGGAUAUAUUUGUAUGGAAAAACAAAAUAUUGUCACGAUCCGAACUGGGGCCCUGGCCGUAAGGGAUAUCGCGAACCAUGGAGGCCCGAGCAUCCCUAUCUGUCUGGUAAUCAUGUACAAUAUUCAUAUGAUAGAGGGAAAAUACAGAAUUUUAUAAGCGAAUGGAAUCAUGUUCAUAAGUCUAAUAUAAAUUCAACAAUGGAAAAAAUGAAAUCCAAAACCAUCUAGCAAUACCUGAAAACCAUCGGCGAAAUCUCUACUACAUGACUAAUAACUUUGUCUGAAAACUGGGAUAAGGACCCCAGUAGACCAAAACCAUAACUGAUAAUAAAUGUUUGAAAAUAACUAGGCCUUCAAAAAUAUAGAAGGCUCACCGACUAGACCUUGCACUUCUGUCUGAGGAAAUCUACUGCUUAUUAGGACCCUAGACUGUGCCUCAGAACCUGGAAGGUGGGGGGGGGGGGGGGGGAGGGUCAAUAUAUAUGUACUGGUACGCAGAGAAAUCCAAAAUAAAGCUUUUAAUGUAACUAAAAUAGUUGAGAGAUAGUUAUAAAACAUCAUAUAGGAUGUAAAUUCUAAAAUACAUGGGUAUUUUUUAUAAUCAUAAAACCUUUCUGUCAAUGCAGUUUCUGAUCUUUGUAUUACUUCUGAGUUAGGUGGCACUCCCCUACAAGUUUGAUAUUUCAUGGGCUAUAUGGAAUCCGUCAUUGACUUGAAGGGAAAGCCCCCAACCCAAGUGUGCCGCAAGGAUUGGAUUGUCUGAGUCUGAUACGCCACAGGGCACUAGGCCAGCGUAUAAUAAUAUACCUGGAUCGGUAAAUCACGGUUUUGGGCAAUGAGUUGUCUGAACUCGUGCCUUCUUCGGGAAACCACCUAAGCUCUCUUUAUGCCCAAUUUUGGUAUGUUCUAAAACAUGCACCAUUCUAGUUUCAAAAUCUGAAAAUUUGAUUUCAAACAUACAUUCUAUUCUGUUUUGAAUCAACAUGGCAUUAUCCGAGUUGGUAUCGUCACACCAAGACUUGCAAGUCCUUUUUCUGAGCCAUAAUGCAUCAUGCUUGAUUCUUUCAUCAAAACUCAAUUCAAACCACCCAAACAUGCAAAUAGUAUAAGAGAUUUCAUGUUCCGAAACAUAAGUCAAAACUAUGCAAGAAUUCAUAAAACAUAUGGCGGUCAUGUGCUUUUGGCAAAACCAUGCACUCUUUCAUUAUAUGUAUAUUCAAAAUUUAUCAGCAUGCACAACCCUCUCUUUUGAUUCCACAACUAUGUUCAAAUCGUAGUAUGAAUCAAGACCUUUCAUAUCAUGCUUUUCAAAACAAUCCAUAUCAUACGAAUAAUGGGAAAAUUCAUAUCAAGAGAGGGAUUCAUUAUAAUUCAUGCUUUCAAUUGAGUAUUCAUCCUUAAACACACGCAUAAAUAUAUAUAGAAUUUUAAAUCAAUUUGGAGAAAGGCCUAAAGACCAAAACAAUGUCAUUGAGACUACUAAAACAUGAUUAUAAAUCAUAAAUCUAAAACUCUUUUCUUAAAAAUCAUGAUUUCUAUGCCCAUGAGAUUUUUAGGAAAACCCCACGUACCUCAAUAUAGAAAAUAAUGGAUGAUUCUUGAAGCCUACGGUUUGGACAUUCCGAAUCUUCAAUCAAUCUUGAAAAGACAGUUAAAUCUUGAGUUAUUUGGGUUUUUAGUUUGAAACCCUAGAGAGUGUUCUUGUGAAUUUUUAAUGACAAUAUGAAUAAUGUGGUCACUUAGGAGUGUAAUCCCGUGUUUAAGCUGAUAAGGGGGUGAAAAAAAUACCUAAUAUGCCCUUAAUGAGACAGAAUAAAAUAUAACUGGGAGCCCGGUUUUAUGGGCCACCGCAACGCGCCACAAUCGCGGUGGCUCAUUGGAAUUUGACGAAUGGGAUUCUUAAGGUCACCGCGAUGCGGAGCCAUCGUGUUGUCCCACUGGUUGGAACCUAAACUUCAGCGCGAUGUGAUACAAUCGCUCUAGGCUACUGGAAUUUGACAAUUUCUAAGUAGACCCCCUCUGCAAUGUGCCAAGCACCAAAAUGACAGUGUUUUACGACUAGGACUUAAACUAGUCAUAACUUCUUGCUCAAGUAUCGAAUUUGGGCGAAUCUUAUAUCAACGGAAAGCUCAUUCAAUUUCCCACAUGAUAAAAAAUCAAAAUUAGAAAAAUUAUAUAUGGUUUAAACUUUACUUAAUUUAGAAGUCAAAAAAAUAAGACUAAGUAUCUUUGACACUAUUCUAGUCAUUUAACUCUAAGAGUAUAUUACCACGAGCUAACAUAUGGACGAUGUGAGGUGUUACAUUAUUCUCCCUUUGGGAUCAUUCGUCCCUGAAUGAUGACACAGAACACAGACAAGCACGAUUUAAGGUAUACUAAGAUAGUAAAAGAAUAAGGCAAGGAUUGUACCUUCCAUUUCGUCAUUCACCGGAUCAAAAAGGUUUGGGUAUCUUGCUCUCAUGUCAUCUUCUAAUUCCCAAGUUGCUUCUCCAACUUUCUAAUUUCUCCACCACACCUUAAUCGAUACUAUCUCUUUGCUCCUCAGAUAUCGAACUUGGCGAUCUAAGAUUGCAAUAGGUUCCUCUUCAUAUGCUAAUGAGUCUGUCACCUUGAUUUCCUCUAUAGGCAACACCAGGGAAUGGUCUCCAAUAUAUUUCUUCAGCAUGGAUAUUUAAAAUACUGGAUGAACAGGACCCAGAUCUGCAGGCAACUCUAACUCAUACGCAACUGCACCUAUCCUUCUCAAAAUCUAGUAUGGUCCUAUAUAGCGAGGUCUCAGCUUACAUUUCUUCCCGAAUCGGAUAACUUCCUUCAUAGGGGAGACUUUUAUAAAUACCCAAUCACUAACUUCAAAUUCUAGCUCCCUUCUUCUGAUAUCGGCAUAGGAUUUCUGUCUACUCUGGGCUGUCUUAAGUCAUUCUCUAAUAAUCUCUACGUCCUCCAUUGCCUAGGGCUGGCAACGGAACCAGAACUUUCCGUUGCAUUCCGAUAGUGACGUUUUCGAUUGAUUUUCGGUACCGGUAAUGACACGGUCUGGUUGAUUCCGGUUUACCAGUACCCAAUGGUCCGAAAAAUGAUACCGGUCCGGACCUAUGAAAAAUUCCGGUGUUUUCGGUUCCGGUUGACCGAUUUCCGGUCCGUAACUUUUAAAAUUUGGCCUUUUUUUAAAAAAAAAAAACUUGGUUUGCAACGGCUCUUUUGGCCGUUGCAUUUCAACCGUUAUUACCCCCCACCUUCCAACUACCCACCACCAUCCUUUAAAAUUUUUACUAUAAAUAUACUUCAUUUCAAUUAUUUUUUUCACACAAAUAUUAUCAAUUUUCAUACUCUCUCUUAAUAUUCUCUAAAAUUCUCUCUAAAUAUUUCUGGUUUAUUAUAUUAGUUGAACACUUGAAGUUGAAGAUUCAUUUAUUAUAUUAGUUGGAGUUGAAGAUUUUUUGAAGAAAUUACAAGCUUCAAUUAUCAUCUUUUAAUUCUGACAUUUGUUAGAUGUCUGCUUUUACGCAGGCGUUCGGUAUAUUCGUUCCAACUUUAAUCUCUUUUUAUUUACGUUAAUUAUCUAUAUUUUUUAUUUUAGUAUCUACAUUUAUUUACGAACAUCAAUUUGUAUUUGUAUUGCUUGUUUUAAUAUUUUAUUUUGAAAUAUGGAUUUUGAAAAAAAUAGUAGUGAUAAAAAAUCAAAUUUUGGUAAGGUCUUUCGUAGAAAAAAAAAAAGUAAGGCUAGUACUAGUUCAUUACCGGCUAGAUUUAAUGAAACUUCAUUAUCACAACCUAAUGGUUUCGAUGUUGGUAUCGAUAUGGAUUUAGAUAAUGAGACCCUGAAUAGGCGUUAUAAUAAUUUUGAGGAAGACUUACCAGAGGAAGAUAAUAUAGAAGAACAAGAAUUAGGUGAUACCCCUACCCCUACUAGUCCGGUUAUGAAAUUAUCGGAACACGGUGAAGAACUGUCCCCUUUACCAGAAUUUACUAGGGCCAAAGGUACCGAACGUACUAAAAGGUUUUUAGUUUGGAAAUUUAUGGAGCAUGAUAGGGUAAAAAGUAUAGCUACUUGCAAUAAAUGCAAGAAUGUUUUUAAACAUUUGACUGGGGGUAAAAAUGGUGGGACAGGAUUGCUAACUUCGCAUUUGAUGAGAUGUAAUAACAAAUUUAUUCGUCUAAAAAAUGAGGCUAAGGCAAAAAAAGAUGGUACAACAUUUGUACAUGAAUCUGUAGGAGGUAAUAUGGUUCAAACACAUUUAGACAUGUUUAACCAGGCUGAAGCAAGUUCAUCCUCGACAUAUAGUGAAGAUGUAGAUACAGAAGAACUAGCGAAAAUGAUUGAUGUUAUGGGUUUGCCUUUUAGUUUUCCUUCGCAUCCCGAUUUUAUUCAUUAUAUUCAACGAGUAUAUAAUCCCUCUUUUAAAGGUUUUUCAUGAAAUACAAUUAAAAAUGAUAUUUUUAAAUUUCAAGCUGAACAUUGUCAUUUUCUUCAUUGCUUAUUUGAUAAAUUUGAUGGUAGAUAUCUGUUACUUCUGAUAUGGGUACUAGUGUUGUCGGUAAUGAUUAUUUUACUCUCACGGCUCAUUGGAUUGAUCACGAUUGGAACAUGCAAAAAAGAAUUAUUGCUUAUAAAUAUGUCGAUGAGUCUAAAACCGGUAUGUAUAUAGCUAAUACAAUAGCGGAGAGCAUGAAAUAUUUUAGAUUUAUUGGUAAACCUAUGNNNNNNNNNNNNNNNNNNNNNNNNNNNNNNNNNNNNNNNNNNNNNNNNNNNNNNNNNNNNNNNNNNNNNNNNNNNNNNNNNNNNNNNNNNNNNNNNNNNNNNNNNNNNNNNNNNNNNNNNNNNNNNNNNNNNNNNNNNNNNNNNNNNNNNNNNNNNNNNNNNNNNNNNNNNNNNNNNNNNNNNNNNNNNNNNNNNNNNNNNNNNNNNNNNNNNNNNNNNNNNNNNNNNNNNNNNNNNNNNNNNNNNNNNNNNNNNNNNNNNNNNNNNNNNNNNNNNNNNNNNNNNNNNNNNNNNNNNNNNNNNNNNNNNNNNNNNNNNNNNNNNNNNNNNNNNNNNNNNNNNNNNNNNNNNNNNNNNNNNNNNNNNNNNNNNNNNNNNNNNNNNNNNNNNNNNNNNNNNNNNNNNNNNNNNNNNNNNNNNNNNNNNNNNNNNNNNNNNNNNNNNNNNNNNNNNNNNNNNNNNNNNNNNNNNNNNNNNNNNNNNNNNNNNNNNNNNNNNNNNNNNNNNNNNNNNNNNNNNNNNNNNNNNNNNNNNNNNNNNNNNNNNNNNNNNNNNNNNNNNNNNNNNNNNNNNNNNNNNNNNNNNNNNNNNNNNNNNNNNNNNNNNNNNNNNNNNNNNNNNNNNNNNNNNNNNNNNNNNNNNNNNNNNNNNNNNNNNNNNNNNNNNNNNNNNNNNNNNNNNNNNNNNNNNNNNNNNNNNNNNNNNNNNNNNNNNNNNNNNNNNNNNNNNNNNNNNNNNNNNNNNNNNNNNNNNNNNNNNNNGAACAAAAUAUUGGGCCGAUUGAACCUCCUAGUUCUAGACGUAGAUAUGAUGAUUUAGAUGACGAGAUGGGCAAAGAACUUGGUCUUCAAUGUUGUAGGAGUAAUGAUUUUGAUUCGUAUCUUUCGCAGGACCGGAAAAAUAUUAGAGAUGAAACUGGAAAAUAACAACUUUUAUCGUGGUGGAAGACCCGGAUCAGACAAUUUCCAAAACUUUCAAGGAUGGUUCGAGAUUUGUUAUCAGCUCAAGCUUCUUCAGUUGCUUCGGAGCAAGCUUUCAGCGCAGGAAGAUUUAUAAUAAGAGAUCAUCGGUAUUCGUUAGCAAGGGAUAGUUUGGAGAUUUCAAUAUUAUUUAGAGAUUGGAUCAAUGCCGAACGAAGAAAUUUUGGGCUCCCCAAAUUACCGCCCCAUAUUGAAGAUGAAAUAGAUGAAAUUUUUGAGGAAAAUAGUGAUGAUGGAAUGGAAGCCAUGGAGGAACAAGGAAAUAGACCAAUUCCAGAGGAUUUAUCCGUCGAAGAAUUAGAAAAGUUAGGCCAAAAAGAUUAUAGACAAUUUAGAUAUUAAUAAGAUUCUAUAAUAGAAAUCUAAUUCACACAGAACUCUUCCUAGAAGGUGGAUGCGUAGAUUAGAUUUACAUUUAAUAUCUUUGUAAUAAAUGUACAACGUACGAAAUUUGAAUAAAUAUAACGGCUAUUCGCCGAAUUUUGUUUUAAAUUUUCUCUUUUGUUUGUUGCAAUUAAGAAAAAAUAUAUAUAUUAUAUUAAGUUUAUAAAGUUACAAAAAAUUUUAACUUCUUAAACUUACUAAAAAUAUUAUAUUAACUUAACAUAUAUUUUUUAAGUUAAAAUUUAAAACCUUUUACAAUAAUUAAAACUUAAACUUAUUAUAAAAAAGUUAAUAAAUUAUAUAAACUAUAUAAGUUAAAAAUAUAUAUAUAACUUAUUUAUUAAUCUCAUUAAGUUAUAAUUUAAAUUAAAACUUAAAAAAAAAAAAGCCUGGUACCAGCGGCAAUAUUUCGGUAACGUUCCGGUAUCGCUCCGGUCCGUUCCGGUUCCACACCGGUAGCUAGCGGACCGGUCCAAACAAGGGAAAUUUUCCAGUAUUCCGAUUCUGGUAACUCCGAUUCCGGCGAUAUAAAAUGGUAAUGAGGUUUCGGUAUCAUUCCGGAUCUGGUCAAACCGGUCCGUUGACAGCCUUACCAUUGCCUGAUGAACAAGAUUAGGCCUAAAAAACUGUGUCUCACCACUUCAUACCACCCUAUUGGCGACCUACAUCUUCUCCCAUACAGUGUAUCAAAAGGAUCCAUCUUAAUACUGGCAUGAUAAUUGUUAUUAUAUGCGAAAUAUAUCAAUGGCAAGUGAUCUACCCAACUAUCUUUCAAGUCAAUCACGCUAGCCCUCAGCAUAUCCUCAAGGGUCUAAAUGGUGCGCUCAUCUUGACAAGCAGUCUGAGGGUGGAAUGCAGUACUCAGAUUCACUUGGAUACCUAAACCCCUUUGGAAAGAUCUCUAAAACUGAGAAGAGAAUUGUGUACCUUGGUCAGAUAUGAUGGAUACAGGUGCUCUAUGCAAGCGGAAUAUUUCCUCCAUGUAAAGCUUAUCAUAAUCAUCUCCCGAAUAAUUGGUUCUAACAGGCAGAAAAUAUGCUGACUUGGUCAGCCUGUCAACAAUCACCCAAAUAGAAUCAUACUGGUUUUGGGACCUCGAAAGUCCUGUAAUAAAGUCCAUAUUGAUCAUCUCCCACUUCCACAAAGGCAAAGCUAUCUUUUGGGAUGUACCACCUGGCCUCAUAUGUUCUACUUUAACUUGCUGCCAGUUCAAACAUUUGAAAACAUAAUUAGCCACAUCACGCUUCAUAUUGUUCCACCAAUAUAAGGUCUUUAGAUCAUGGUACAUCUUAGUAGAGCUUGGGUGAACAACAUACCUCGAGGUGUGAGCUUCAUCAAGAAUUCUCUUUCAUAACCCAUCUACAUCUGGCACACAUAGUCGACCCUGAUAUCUCAAAAUACCAUCACCACCUAUUUCAAAAGAAAUCACCUUCUGCUGACCCAUAUCUUUCUUUAUCUGCAUUAAGAUUAAGAUAGGAUCUUCAACCUGUUUCUCUUUAACUUCUGCCUACCUUAUGAACAACCACUCCCCCAUCUUCGGAAUCCAAGAGUCAUACUCCUAGAUUUGCAAGUCGAUGAAUAUCCUUCACCAUCUCUCUCUUUUCUUUUUUAACAUGAGAAAGACUGCCCAUAGACAACCUGCUGAGGGCGUCGGCUACCACAUUUGCCUUGCCCGGAUGGUAGUGCAUGCUCAUGUCAUAAUCCUUUAAAAGCUCCAACCAUCGUCUUUGCCCGAGGUUUAAUUCUUUCUGUGAGAAACAUACUGUAAAAUCUUGUGGUCAGUAAAUAUAUCAACAUAUACCCCAUAGAGAUAAUGCCGCCAGAUUUUAAGCACAAACACCACAACCUCUAACUCCAAGUCAUGGAUGGGGUAAUUUUGCUCAUCCAUAUUCAACUGCCUAGAUGCAUAGGCCACCACCUUACCGUGCUACAUAAGUACACACCCAAGUCCCACACGGGACGCAUCACAGUACACAACAAACCCCUUCGUACCUUCCAAAAGAGUCCAAAUAGGAGAAGUUGUUAACUUAUCUUUUAACUUCUCAAAGCUAUUCUCACAGGAGUCAGACCACACGAACUUCACCUUUUUUUGAGUCAACUUAGUAAGUGGUGCAGCUAUGGAAGAAAAACUCUUUACAAAUCUUCUGUAAUACACUGCCAAACCCAAGAAGCUCCGAAUAUCGGUUAGAGUCGUGGGUCUGGGCCAUUUUCUCAUUGCCUCAAUCUUUUGGGGAUCAAUCUAAAUCCUGUCACUAGACACGAUAUGCCCCAAGAAAGCAAUAGCAUUAAGCCAGAAUUCACACUUGGAAAAUUUUGCAUACAACUUAUGAUCUUUGAGAGUUUGAAGGAUGAUUCUGAGGUGAUUGGCAUGGUCCUCCUCACUCUUGGAACGAAUCAGAAUAUCAUCAACGAAAAUUAUAACAAACAAAUCUAGAAACUGAUGGAACACCCUGUUCAUAAGAUCCAUGAAGGUUGCAAGGGCAUUAGUCAACCCAAAGGACAUGACUAGGAAUUCGUAAUGACCGUAUCUAGUUUAGAAAGCUAUUUUGGGAAUGUCCGACUGUCUAACUUUCAACUGAUGGUAUCCCAAAUGAAGGUCUAUCUUUGAAAAAUAUUUAGCACCCUGAAGUUGGUCAAAGAGAUUAUCAAUCCUAGGAAGAGGAUAUUUAUUUUUAACAGUGAUCUUAUUUAGCUAGUAGUAAUCUAUGAAUAUACGCAGGGAACCAUCUUUCUUUCGCACGAAGAGUACAGGUGCACCCCAGGGAGAAAAACUGGGACAUAUAAACCUUUGUCUAGAAAGUCUGCUAGCUGUUCUUUCAACUCUUUCAGCUCUGCAGGAGCCAUUCUAUAUGGCAGAAUAGAAAUGGGAUGGGUGUCUGGUAAUAAAUCAAUACCAAAAUAUAUCACCUUAUCAGGUGGUAUUCCUGGGAGAUCAUCUAGAAAGACUUCUAGAAACUCAUUUACCACAGGGACUGACUGGAGAGGAAAACUUUCGGCAUUAGAAUCUUUAACCCAAAUAAGAUGAUAUAAAUAACCUUUGGAGAUAAGUUUAUGGGCUCUAAGAUAAGAUAUAAAGUUUUCUCUAGGUGCUAAAGAAUGCCCCUCCCAUUCUAUCACUGGUUCAUUCUGAAAAGAAAAUGUGACUCUUUGGGUUCUACAAUUUAAUGUGGCUUAGCACGAAUGAAGCCAUUCCAUCCCUAGGAUAGCAUCAAAAUCAAUCAUAUAUAGGUCUAUGAGGUCUGCCACGGUAUCUCAGCCACAAACAGUCACCACAUAAUUUCUAUACACUCUCCUAGCCACAACAGAAUCACCCAUCAGAGUGGAAAUAGAGAAAGGUUCUGAAAUUUCAUCAGGCUCAAACCCAAAACUGACAAGCACAUAAAGGGUCACAUAGGAUAACGUAGACCCGGGAUCAAGUAAUACAUAAGUAUCACGGGAAAAAAUUUGGAAUGUACCGGUGACUACGUCUGGCAAGGCUUCCACCUCCUGGAGGUUGGACAACGCAUACAGCUGGUUGCAACCACUCCCGUCAGUUGAGGUGGCGCCCUUUUGGGGCGGUGGUGAUGCGGAAAAAUUUUCUUGAGAUUUAGCACCACCAACACUCCUUCUAGCUGAAGGAUAAUCUCUCUGAAAGUCACCCGAAUGACCACAUGAAUAGCAUACCAGCAAACCCAGAUGACACCUCCCUGGAUGAUGCCUACCGCAGGUCUAACACCAUGGAAACGUACAAUGCUGCUGAGCUACGCUGCCUUGUGACUUGGUAUCCUGAGCUCUGGAUCCAUGAUUAGUUUGGAAACUCUGAGGUCGUCGGUCUACUAGAGGUCUGGGCGCUAGGGCGCUGGCUGCGGACUGAGCAUUACCCUAAUUUUUCUUCUUCUGCCAUUUAUUUCCCCAAUUACCACUCUGUGGUUGACUGUGGUUCUGAUCCGCUAUUCUGGCUUUCUUUGUCUGGCUGUCCUUCUCCCUAGAUUCAACGAUUCUCUUCUUCUAUUGCUCUACCUGCUUCAUAUGCACUGACAGCCUAGAGAAGUCCCUGUUAUGCAUAGCCCCCUUACAUUCAAGCACUAAGUCAUCCGAUAGGUCGGAUGCAAAUUUUCUCAUUCGGGCUCUCAUAUUACCAUCUCUCUCCGGAGCAUAAUGAGCCAGUUAGUUAAACUUCAGAGUGUACUCCUUCACACUUAUUUUUCCUUGCUUAAGGUUCAUAAACUCCUCAGCUUUGGCCUCUCUCAAUGCAAGGGGAAAGAACUGAUCAAGGAAGGCUUCCACAAACGCGCCCCAUACUGUGGGCUCAGCACUCUCACCCUUAGAAUCCUCCCACUCAUUAUACCACUGGUUCACAACUUCUUUAAGCUGGUAAGCUGCUAAUUCAACCCCUUUCACUUCGUCUACAUGCAUCACCUUGAAGAUCUUCUCCAUCUCAUCCACAAACUCCUGUGGAUCCUUCUCUACCUUGGAGCCCAAAAACUUGGGCGGGUUCAUUCUCAUGAAUUAACCCACCCUAGUAGCCUCAGAUGUGAUCGAUGCAGACCUAAUAUCUUCCUACCAUUGAUUCUGUAUGGCUACCAACUGUACAAGCAUGUGAAUGGACUGUUUGAAUUCUGCAUUAGAUACCUCUCUCUCGCGAGGCUGAGUGAGGUUAGUCCCCAUCCGGGGAGCUCUGGGUGCCCUAGGAAGGUUGUUCAGAGUAAGUGGGACUCCCGGAGUAGCAUUAAUCCCCGGAGUCAGGGCUCUAUUUUGGGUCCUCAUCCCAUGAGUGGGACGGACCUCAUCUGUCUGUGCAUUCUGAUCGAUAGUACGAUGGGGAGGCAUGAUUUCUUUUCUAAAAUGCAAGAGAUCAUUGAUUAGGGGACAAUUUAGACUCUGAAGCACGAACUAAACCACAAAGAAAAGAAACAUUCCUGAACGCCUAGUAGCCUCCUGCUCAUAAGUGUGGCACGCUAAACACCCAUAAAAAAAAUUCUACCCGACGCGAUUUCGCAGACACCCUGGGACCAUGAACCGUGCUCUGAUACCAAGUUUGUCAUGACCCAAACUGGGCCCUGGUCGUAACAAACAUCCCGAACCAUGAAGACUUGGACGUCCCUAUCUGUCUGGUAAUCAUGCAUAACAUUCAUAUAAUAGAGGGAAAAUGCAGAAUUUUAUAAGUGAACGGAAUCAUAGUCAUAAGUCGGAUAUAAAUUCAACAAUGAAAACUAUGGAAUUCAAAACCAUCUAGCUACACCUGAAAACCAUCUGUGAAAUCUCUACUACAUGACUAAUAACACUGUCUGAAAACUGGGACAAGGCUCCCAGUAGACCAAAACCAUAACUGAUAAUAAAUGUCUGAACAUAACUAAGCCUUCUGAAAUGUAGAAGGCUCACCGACUAGACCCUGCACUUCUGUCUGAAGAAAUCUACUAUUUAUCAGGAUCCCUAGACUGUGCCUCAGAACCUGAAAGGUAGGGAGGGUCAAUACAGAUGUACUGGUACGCAGAGCAAUCCAAAAUAAAGCUUUUAAUGUAACUAAAAUAGUUGAGAGCUAGUUAUAAAACAUCAUAUAGGAUAUAAAUUCCAAAAAACAUGGGCAUUUUUUAUAAUCAUAAAACCUUUCUGUCAAUGCAAUUUCUAAUCUUUGUAUUACUUCUGAGUUAGGUGGCACUCCCCUACAAGUAUGAUAUUCCACGGGCUAUAUGGAAUCCGUCAUUGACUCGGAGGGGAAGCCCCCAACCCAAGUGUGCCACAAGGGUUGGAGUGCCUGAGUCUGAUACGCCAUAGGACACUAGGCCAGCGUAUAAUAAUAUACCCGGAUCAGUAAAUCACGAUUUUGGGUAAUGAGUUUUCUGAACUCGUUCUUUCUUCGGAGAGCCACCUAAGCUCUCUUUAUGCUCAAUUUUGGUCUGUUCUGAAACAUGCACCAUUCUAGUUUCAAAAUCUGAAAAUCUAAUUUCAAACAUGCAUUCUAUUCUGUUUUGAAUGAACAUGGCAUUAUUUGAGUUGGUGUCGUCACACCAAGACUUGCAAGUCCUUUUUCUGAGACAUAAUGCAUCAUGCAUGAUCCUUUCAUCAAAACUCAAUUCAGACCACCCAAACAUGCAAAUAGUAUAAGAGAUUUCAUGUUUCGAUACAUAAGUCAAAACUAUGCAAGAAUUCUUCAAACAUAUGGUGGUCAUGUGCUUUUGGCAAAACCAUCCACUCUUUCAUUAUAUGUAUAUUCAAUAUUUAUCAGCAUGCACAACCCUCUCUUUUGAUUACACAAUCAUGUUCAAAUCAUAGUAUGAAUCAAUAUCUUUCAUAUCAUGCUUUUCAAAACAAUCCAUAUCAUACGAAUAAUAGAAAAAAUCAUAUCAAGAGAGGGAUUCAUUAUAAUUCAUGCUCUCAAUUGAAUAUUCAUCCUUAAACACAUGCAUACAUAUAUAUAUAAUUUCAAAUCAAUUUGGGAAAAGGACUAAAGACCAAAACAAUGUCAUUGAGACUUCUAAAACAUGAUUAUAAAUCAUAUAUCUAAAAUCCUUUUCUUAAAAAUCAUGAUUUCUAUACCCAUGAGAUUUUUAGGAAAAUCCCACAUACCUCAAUACAGAAAAUAAUGGAUGAUUCUUAAAGCCUACGGUUUGGGGAUUCUGAAUCUUUAAUCAAUCUUGAAAAGCCAUGGUUAAAUAUUGAGUUAUUUGGAUUUUUAGUUUGAAGCCCUAGAGAGUGUUCUUGUGAAUUUUUGAUGACAAUAUGAAUAAUGUGGUCACUUGGGAGUAUAAUCCCGUGUUUAAGCUGAUAAGGCGGUAGAAAAAUACCUAAUAUACCCUUAAUGAGACGAAAUAAAAUAUGACUGGGAGCCCGGUUUUAUGGGCCACCACAACGCGCCACAAUCGCGGUGGCUCACUAGAAUUUGACGAAUGAGAUUCUUAAGGUCACCGCGACGCGGAGCCAUUGCGUUGUCCCACUGGUUAGAACCUAAACUUCAGCGUGACGCGCCACAAUCGCGCUAGGCUACUAGAAUUUGACAAUUGCUAGAAAUACCCCCUCCGCGACACGCCAAGAACCAAAAUGACGAUGUUUUACUACUAGGACUUAAAUUAGCCAUAACUUCUUACCCGGGUAUCAGAUUUGGGCGAAUUUUAUAUUGACGGAAAGCUCAUUCAACUUUUCACAUGAUAAAAAGUCAAAAUUAGGGAAAUUAUAUAUGGUUUAUACUUUACUUACUUUGGAAGUCAAAAAAAAUGAGACUAAGUCUCUUUGACACUAUUCUAGUCAUUUAACUCUAAGAGUAUAUUACCACGAGCUAACGCAUGGACGAUGCGGAGCGUUACAAAUAUCCAGUUCUAUAAUUAAAUAUGAUACAGAGAAGACAAAUAUCAAUUCUAUUCCUGUAUAAGGAAAUAAUUUAUCUAGAAGACAACAGGCUAUUUUUGAAGAUUGGAUAUUUACCAUCACAUAAACCUUGCUACAUCAUUUGCAAAGAAAUUCCAACUUGAUCUUCUUGAGAUUUACCAGGAUUUCUUUCAUGUCCAACCUUUCAUUGGGAGAUUCAGUUGUGCAAUGCAAUGCCAACUCCAGAAUAGAGGAUACACAACGAAGCUCAUUCUGGAAAGAAAUCUUUUCUGGUUCCAUCAGCGUGACAUCAAUAACAUCCUCUUGUGUUGACAUCAAUACCCAACUCCUCAUGCUCAAAUUUUCUUGAAACAUUUCAUCAUAUGGCCUUUUCUUUGUGAAAGUUUCCAUGAGCAUAAUGCCGUAGCUGUACACAUCACAUCUUCUAGAAACUAAUCCUACUGAUCCAUACUCUGAUCCAAUGUUACCAAAGUAAUUAGUAUCAUGACAGCAAAAUAAUGAAAUGAAUAUAAUAUCCAUGUUUACAUCCAAGAGUGUGGCCAAAUGGUCAAUAAGAUGGGUUAGUUAAGAAUAACAGUCUCUUAUUCAAAUCCCAACAACGAGACAAAAACUAGGUGAUUUCUUCCCAUUUAUCCUAGUACCUCUUGCUGGUGGGAGGUGACAAGUAUCCCGUGGGUUAUCAGAAAAAAAUUAUCUAUUUGUUAGAUAUUAAAUAUAUUGAAUCUACCUUGAGUAGAUAAAAAAUAAAAACUGAAGGUAUAACGGCAAUCAGUUUUUAUUAUAUUAGAACCAGUAAACUAAUUAUUUGAUGUAAAAUAAAACCUCAUAUGCUAUAAUAAUAGGACUAAAAGAAAGUUACCUGGUGCAAUGUAGCCCAUUGUAGCAAGUGUUUUAGUAUGAGCAAUUGAUUCCCCUUCUCCUAAUAACUUGGUCAGGCCAAAGUCACUCACAUGUCCAACCAACCUAUCGUCUAGCAAGACAUUGCUAGGCUUCAAAUCACUAUGUACAACAACUGUUUCAUAACCAUGAUGGAGAUACUCCAAAGCGGAUGCAACAUCGAUCAUUAUGUCUAGUCGUUGGAUCAUAUUCAAGAAGUAAUCAUCAGAAUGUAACCAUUGCUCCAGACUCCCCUUCGGCAUGUACUCUAGAAGUAAUGCUUUAAAAUCCAUGUUAGUACAACUGCUGAUAACUUUGGUAAGAUUCCUAUGACGAAGGUUGCGUAGAACAUCACAUUCAGUGUCAAAACUCUUGAAUGCACCUUCAAUCUGUAAAUUAAACACUUUGAUUGCCAAAGUCAUCCCGUUUGCAAACGUACCCUUGUAAACAGAGCCAAAACCUCCGGAGCCUAGCAAGUUGCAUUGGUCGAACCCUUGAGUUGCCCUUUCAACUUCAAUGUAUGAAAUUUUUGCUAGUUUUAUUGUUGCAGGAUAGGAUUCGGCUUGAGUGUGAACAUUUCUAUUCCCACGUCUCUUGAACAUAAACACAGCGAUUGAUGCAAGAACCAUCAGUGCAGCUCCCAAUGGGGCAAGUAUAACCAGAAGUAAUUUACUUCUCCUUGAAUGAUGAAAAGACAUAGUCAUACAAGGUUGGAAAAGCAAACCGCCGCAUAACUCUUCAUUUCCCAUAAAAGAUUGAGAGGUGAAAUGGAGAAAAGGUCCUUUACUUGGUAUUUCACCUUCAAAUCUGUUGAAUGAUACGUUGAAAUCCUUCAGAUAUCGAAGUGACUCUAUUGAUUUUGGAAUCAUUCCUGAAAGAAUGUUAUUGGAUAGAUUCAUCGAUACCAAACUUAUCAUUUUCCCAAGUGACUCUGGAAUAGAUCCUUGUAACUCAUUAUAAGCCAGGGAAAGAUAAAGUAGAUUCUGCAAGUCUCCAACUGUGGUGGGAAUAAUUCCUGAAAGGUGAUUCCUUGAGAGAUCUACUAAUGUUAUGGCAUUCAACUUACCAAAAUCAGGAGGUAUAGAAUCAACCAAGGAAUUAUUCGACAAGUUAAGUUCCAAAAGAUCUUUGAGGCUCCAUAGACCAAUGGGAAUGCUACUGAGUCUAUUUGAAUUUAGAUAAAUAUUUCUCAAAGAGGUAGCAUUACCAAUGCAAUAUGGUAUAGGACCCGAAAACUGAUUAUAGGACAACUCAAGGAAGUACAACUCCGGCAAUUUGCAAAGGCACUCUUGCAAUGGUCCGCUUAACCGAUUAUUGUCAAGACUUAACCAUUGAAUAAUGUGUAAAUCACAUAAUGUUCUUGGCAUUGAUCCAGUCAUGUCGUUGCGGGAUAGAUACAAAGUGUUUAAGUUACUUAAAUUCCCAAUUCCAAAUGGUAUCUGGCCCCUAAUUUUAGAAUGAUAUAAAUCUAAUAUCUCAAUAGAACUGGAGAGAUUGCCAAUGGAAUCUGGAAGAACACCAUUCAAAGGAUUAUCCUCUAAUUCUAGUACUUUCAAGGAUCUACAGUUCACCAAGGAAGCAAAGAUACUUAGACGCGGAGAUGAUAAGCUGUUAAUGAACAAUUGCAGAGAUUCAAGAUGCCUCAAAUCCCCCAAUGAGUUAGGAAUUGGACCACUGAAUUUGUUUUCACUAAGAUCUAAUAUCGUUAGAUUUGAAGAAUUGGAGAUUGAGCUGGGUAUAACUCCACCAAUGUUGUUAUCACCCAAAUGCAAAAGCCUCAGAUUUGUUCGCCAGUAGUUUGAAGCAGAUGGAAGACUACCCGAGAGGUUAUUGUAUGCAAGUGACACCCCUCUUAGGGUAGAGAUAUUGAAGAGCUCUUCCGGUAUGGAACCACUUAACUUAUUAAAUUGCAAAAGUAGCAGCUCCAAUUUGUGAAGAUUCCCAAUAUCUCUGGGUAUAACACCUGCCACGAGAAAAAUUAAGUCGAUUAAGUUUAUUUGGUUGCUCCAUUUUGCAUAUCAUAUCACAUUGUGCUAAAACUAGAAAGCUCCUAUGUUCAGCUCCUAUGUUCAAAGUUAGAUUACAAUUUUGCACCUUCAGUAAACUAAUUAAAAUGUAUUAAACCAUUAAAUCUAAACAUAAUAGUUAUGCAGAUUAAUUUCUUUACAGUCUUCUCAAAUUUCAGCCUUAAUUAUUAGUUCUUUUCAGCCUUCAGGUGUAGCAAAACACUAAACCAAAACCUAAUACUUAUGCAGAUUUAAUUUCUUUGCAACCUUCUCAUAUUUCAGCUUUUAUUACGUGUUCUUUUCAGCUUCCAGGUGUAAUAAAACAUUAAAUCAAAACAUACUAAUAGUUAUGCAAAUUUAGUUUCUUUACAACCUUUUCAUAUUGCAGCCUUUAUUAGUAUUUGAUCUUUUCAGCAUCUAGGGUAAUAAUAUCUUUACACAGCCUUUGGACAUUCUUAUUGCACAUUAUAAAUGUAAACAACGCAUGUAAUCAACUCCUCACUUUAGUUAUUCCUUUUAUCUUCACUGUAUCAGAAAUGUUUUUUCCGUACGACUACAACAAAGAUGUAAAUGCUUCUACAGCAGGAGUUUCAGUUCCCAAACGAGUCUAUUAGACAUCAUCUCAUCCCCGUUCCGUGUGAACACCUAUGGAUUCUUAUAGCUCGGAUAGCAGCUCAAGGUUAUUGAAAUAUCUCUUGCAGAAAGAUUCAGUUCUGGUAGUGGCUAAAGAGGAGUACGAGAAAUGGAAGUCAAUCCAAUUAUACAUUCGGAUGCUAAUUAUGUAUUCGAAAAUUGCAAAAUAAGGAAGUAUUUGUAAUUUAGCAAAAAGCAAGAAUAGAGAAUAAUCUAUAUAUUAAAAGGAGAGGACAAAGCCUCUGCCUUAAAAUUGAUACAUGUAGUCUGUUAUGUUAGGUUAGUUAAUUAGGUUAAAAUUAGUUAAUAUUUACUUUAAAUUUUUUCAGCUUUUUUUUUAAAAUCAAAUUUGCAUUUACUUUAAGUUUUUACUAUUUUUAAAUUGUUAAGUUUUACAGAAAAAUUAAAUUACCUGAACAAUAGGAUUUUGUUUUUCUAAACUGCUACUUUCAUUUCUAAAAAGUGAUUGAAAAUAUACUAAAACUUUCUGCAAAUCCCAUAAAAAAGUCCUUAUCAUUGAUGAUUUUCAUGUUUGUGUCCAUCUCUUCUAUUGACUCUUUAAAUUGGAUUUAUACUUAAAAUAAAACAAAUUUUAUUUAAAACUAAAAAAUUAAAAAAAAAAUUAAUGGGACAACUGCAUAUUUCAAAUACACAUUCAAUUUUUCUUUAUAAAAGCUGCUUUUAAAUCUGAAGGGAUUUAUCCUUAUCAAUUUUCCAUUAGGAUUAUAUCCAACUGCUCAACUUUAUCUUUAUAAACUUUCCUUUUAAUUUUAUUCUCUUCUCAUUCUUUUUCAACCAUGCACUGCAUUCUUUUUCUAAAAUUUUCUUUGGCAGAGUCAAGAAAAGAUUUAAACUACGACAUAAUCAUGCAAUUAAUAUUGCAGUAACACCAAUAUUUACCAAAAAGACAAGGAAAAGAUUUGUCCUUGAUUCUUACUGACAUAUAUUUAAGGAUUAACUGCAUUUUAUUUCUUUGUGCAGAAGAACAAGGAGAAAAUUUUAAGAGCAAUUUGUUAGCAUCAAAUUGCGGUUGGAAGGCGAAACGGGGAAGCCUUAUAGAGCAAAUAUUCAUGACUGUGAUGAAAGAUUGUCCAAUCUCAAUGGUUACAGGUUUCAACCGCAUUAACUAUUAACAACUUCUCUUCUCUUUGAAUUUUUUAUUUUUUAUUGUCAAAUUUAUUUAUAUUAUUAUAAUAUUCAAUCUAAAUUCGCUCCUCAUUACCAUUUUUCCACAAAAGACAAAAAAAAAAAAGGAAAAACUAAAUAAUGCACAUUAGGUCAUCAACUACACGUAAAUUGCAUAUCAAUAUUUUUAAAUUGCAUAUUUUUCAAAAAAAAAUUAACCCACUUCCCCGAAUCCCUCUCCUCAUUGACGUGUUUUUCUCUUUGUGGAAAGUUUUUUUUUUUUUCCUUUUUUUAACCAUUUUCAAAUGUAGUGAAAAAAAAAUCACAAAAAGAAGAAUUUCUAAUGGAAAAAGGAUGUGAAUAAAAGAAAAUGACAGAGAGGAUAAGAAGAAGUUGAUUAGCAAUAGGGUAGGAAAAAUAUCAACCAAACCUUAAAGAAUCCUUUCUUUCCUUUUAGUUUACUUUCUUUUUUAUUUCUUCACAUUACAUACAAUCAUUCGUUUUUUUAUUUGCCUUUACUUUUUAAUUUCAGUUAAUCCAUUAUUAUUUUUUAAAUAUUGUAUACUCAAUUUGCAUUAAAAACAGUUUUUAUUAAUUUCUUUAAGGAGCUAAUUGGAUUUAAAGGAACCUCAACGAAUGUUAUUACAUUUACGUUAAAUUGAAAAAAUAUCUCAUAUGAAUAAUCAGCGAGAAGUAAAAGUUCUGAUUUUUCAUUCAUGAUUAGAUAAUAUGUGUCGGAACAAAUUUUUUUUCCUAUAAAGCUUUUAAAAAAUACACUCUUCAUCACUUAUUGUUUUUAUGAAUGUUGCAUGUCUAAUUAACCUUUGUUUAUUCUCCAACACGUGAAAAAAUAAAGAUGAUUUGAAGUCGAUUUAUUGUCCAAAUUAAGCUUCGACAUUAUGAAAUUGAAGGUGAUUGGUUUGUUCUAUUGUUGACUUACUUGAGUAGUUUAAUGUUUUAUCUUCUAUCGUCACAUCUUGACUACCGAUUAUUUUUUAAUUGAUAGAUGUUACAAACGGAACGAGGAAGAUCGGAGAUUACUUUAAUGAUUUUCUAAUGAGUCAUUGAUAAAUAUUUAUUGAAAAUGUUCCUCUUCAAGAUGAGGUUUACGAAAAAUAUUAAUUUCUCUCCAAUCAAUAUUAUGCUAGAAUACAUGUACAAUCAUAUCAUACUUUUAAUAUGAUUAUUUUAGUUUUACUCAUUUUGAAAUUGUCAAUUGUUCAUGUUGAUUUGAUGAUGUAAAGACAUUUGAAUCAAAUUGGAGACUUUUUAUGUUUAUUUUUAUUUUGUAUACAUAAUUACAAAGUUUAUAUCUUUUUAUUUUACUAAAGGACAAGUUAAGAAUGAUA
RNAcentral lists this long non-coding RNA (88693 nucleotides) under Capsicum annuum. RNAcentral describes it as "long non-coding RNA (CANN_LNC003389)". The record is from RNAcentral. Lineage: Eukaryota; Viridiplantae; Streptophyta; Magnoliopsida; Solanales; Solanaceae.